This 76688-nucleotide long non-coding RNA is filed under the name Triticum aestivum (bread wheat). RNAcentral describes it as "long non-coding RNA (TAES_LNC002665)". Lineage: Eukaryota; Viridiplantae; Streptophyta; Magnoliopsida; Poales; Poaceae. The record is from RNAcentral.
GCAGCAAAAAUAAUCAAUGCAAAAGCACGUUCCUGUGAUUUAAAAAAAUUAUAUUCGUGCACGCAAAGUUUCUGUUUUUCAGCAAAAUCAAAUCAACUAUCAUCGUAGGUUAUCCUAUAGGUUCUACUUGGCACAGACACUAACUAAAACAUAAAACCACAUACAAACAGAGGCUUUAUGGAUUAUUUAUUCCUAAACAUAAGCAAAAAACAAAAAACAAAAAUAAAAUUGGGUUGCCUCCCAACAAGCGCUAUCGUUUAACGCCCCUAGCUAGGCAUAAAUAUAUCAAUGAUGCUGACAAGAAAGACAAGAAUUGAAGCACAAAGAGAGCAUCAUAAAACACGUGAUAAACACAUCUAAGUCUAACAUACUUCCUAUGCAUAGGGAUCUUAUAGGCAAACAAAUUAUCAAGGCAAGCAAAAACUAACAUAUGCAAGGAGGCGGAAAGAAACAAUAGCAAUCUCAACAUAACGAGAGGUAAUUUAUUAUCAUGAAAAUUUCUACGACCAUAUUUUCCUCUCUCAUAAUAAUUACAUGUGGGAUCAUAAGAAAAUUCAACAAAAUAGCUAUCACAUAAAACAUUUUCAACACGAUCCACAUGCAUGCAAAGUGACACUCUUCUGAAAAAGUGGGAUUAACAUUAACUAAAGUCAUGACCUCUCCAAACCCACUUUUAUCAAAAAUUUCAUAAGAUUGAAUAUUCUCCAAAUAUGUGGGAUCUAGAUUUGACACUCUUCCAAACCCACUUUCAAUAUUAUUGCAAACAAUAUUAUCAAUCUCAUAUUCAUCAUGGGGAUUAAAUAAAUUUUCAAGAUCAUAAGAAGAAUCACCCCAAUCAUGAUCAUUGCAACAAGUAGUAGACAUAGCAAAACUAGCAUCCCCAAGCUUAGGAUUUUGCAUAUUAUUAGCACAAUUGACAUCAAGAGAAUUUAUAGUAAAAUCAUUUAAAUCAUGCUUUUCGUUGAGGGAGCUAUCAAGCAUGGGUGCAAUAGCAACGAUCACAUUUUUAACAUAAGGAACUAUAGCAAAUUCGUCUUCAUAAAUAUUGGCUUCAUGACCACAAGAAUAGCAAGCAUCAUGUUCAUCAAGGGAUAUUUCAAUCAAAUCAUCGGAAUCAUCAUUAUCUAUAGAUUCAUGCAUAUUAUUAUUUCCUUCCAAAGCAACGAUCAUUCUGUCAAUAAAUUCUUGAACAUAGACAUUAUGAGCAAGGUUUUCAUUGCAAUAAUUAAGUAUGACAGAAUUUUUAGAUUUCUUGAGAGUAAAAUCAUACUUUUCAAUCAAAUAAGUAACUUCAUGAGCACCCUUAAAAACGACAAAUUCUUCAAUUUGUUUGAUAUCAUAGUAACUAUAAACACCCUUUGCAUAAGAAGAUAAGAUUUCAUUAUCAUUGAACUCACAUAGGUAGGGAAGGUGUUUUUAGGGUUCUUAGAGCAACAAGUAAAAUCACACAUUUCACAAAGAUUCCAAGCAUAACAUAGCAAACUAUUUAUAUGAUAUCGAAAGAGUCUCCCUUUUUCAGAUAAACGGUGACGCACAAAAUGAGCAUGCUCAUCUAAAGAUUUCCCAUCAACUAGGCUAGUUGGGGUUUCAGCACGAGCGCAUAAGGAUCAAAGAUGAUCCAAGUAGAACACUUUAAGUGGAUCUAUAUCAAUCAACUUUUAGCAAGCAAAGAUGCAAGCGUAUAGAAGGCACAAGGAAACACAAACAAAGAUACAUACGGAAAGAAGGCGAACGAAAAGGAGAGGGCAAAUAAAACGACAAUGGUGAAGUGGGGGAGAGGAAAAUGAGAGGCAAAUAAUGUAAUGCGAGAGCUAGGGAUUGUGAUGGGUACUUUGUAUGGUUGACUUGCUUGCGUGAGCCUCCCCGACAACAGCGCCAAAAAUUCUUCUUUCUACCUCUUGAGAACUGCGUUGUAUUUCCCCGAAGAGGACAGGAUGAUGCAGCAAAGUAGCGUAAGUAUUUCCCUCAGUUUUUGAGAACCAAGGUAUCAAUCCAGUAGGAGACCACGCACAAGUCCCUCGUACCUACGCAAAAGAUAGCUACUCGCAACCAACGCGAUUAGGGGUUGUCAAUCCUUUCACGGUCACUUACGAGGGUGAGAUCUGAUAGAGAAGAUAAAUAAUAUUGUUGGUAUUUUUGAUAUAGAGAUGCAAAGUGAAAAGUAAAAGGCAAAGUAAAAACAAAGCAAGUAAUAAAGUGAUAGAGAUUGAUAUGAUGAGAAUAGACCCGGGGGCCAUAGGUUUCACUAGUGGCUUCUCUCAAGAGCAUAGAUAUUCUACGGUGGGUGAACAAAUUACUGUUGAGCAAUUGACAGAAUUGAGCAUAGUUAUGAGUAUAUCUAGGUAAUAUAGGCAUCACGUCCAAGACAAGUAGAUCGAAACGAUUCUGCAUCUACUACUAUUACUCCACUCAUCGACCGCUAUCCAGCAUGCAUCUAGAGUAUUAAGUUAAGAACAGAGUAACGCCUUAAGCAAGAUGACAUGAUGUAGAGGGAUAAAUUCAUGCAAUAUGAUAAAAACCCCAUCUUGUUAUCCUCGAUGGCAACAAUACAAUACGUGCCUUGAUGCCCCUUCUGUCACUGGGAAAGGACACCGCAAGAUUGAACCCAAAGCUAAGCACUUCUCCCAUUGCAAGAACUACCAAUCUAGUUGGCCAAACCAAAAGGAUAAUUUGAAGAGACUUGCAAAGAUAAAUCAAUCAUACAUAAAAGAAUUCAGAGAAGAUUCAAAUAUUAAUCAUAGAUAAGCUGGAUCAUAAACCCACAAUUCAUCGGUCUCAACAAACACACUGCAAAAAGAAGAUUACAUCGAAUAGAUCUCCACGAGAGAGGGGGAAAACAUUGUAUUGAGAUCCAAAAAGAGAGAAGAAGCCAUCUAGCUACUAGCUAUGGACCCGAAGGUCUGAAGUAAACUACUCACACUUCAUCGGAGGGGCUAUGGUGUUGAUGUAGAAGCCCUCCAUGGUGGAUGCCCGCUUCGGCGGAGCUCCGGAACAGGCCCCAAGAUGGGAUCUCGUGGAUAUAGAAAGUUGCGGCAGUGGAAUUAGGUUUUUGGCUCCGUAUUUGAUCUGUCGGGGGUACGUAGGUAUAUAUAGGAGGAAGGAGUACGUCGGUGGAGCAACAGGGGGCCCACGAGGUAGGGGGGCGCGCCCUGGGGGGGGGGGGGCGCCCCCACCCUCGUGACCGCCUCUGUUGUUCCUUGGAGCAGGGUCCAAGUCUCCUGGAUCACGUUCCGUGAGAAAAUCACGUUCCCGAAGGUUUCAUUCCAUUUGGACUCCGUUUGAUAUUCCGUUUCUUCGAAACACUAAAUAGGCAAAAAACAACAAUUCUGGGCCGGGCCUCCGGUUAAUAGGUUAGUCCCAAAAAUAAUAUAAAAGUGGAAAAUAAAGCCCAAUAUAGUCCAAAAUAGUAGAUAAAGUAGCAUGGAGCAAUAAAAAAUUAUAGAUACGUUGGAGACAUAUCAAGGAGCAAUCAAUAACAGUAACAAAAUCUAAUGCAAGCAUGAGAGAAUGGAAUGGGCGAUAUCGGGAUGAUCAAAGGGGGGAGGGCUUGCCUGGAAGCUCUGCUGAAAGGGAAGAAGUGUCAUCGUCGAUGUUGUCGAUCACAGGGGCAGCAUCAGCCUCGGGGUCUACCGGAGAGAAAGGGGGAAGAAACAGUAAAUACAGAGCAAACAAGGCAUCACAAGGCACAACAUGGCAAUACGCAGCGCUAGGAGAGUUCUAACGUAGUGUUGCACGAUACAGGUGAAGGGGGAAUUCAACCGGGAAGGUAUUCCCGGUUCCGGGCCUGUGUUAGACAGAUGACCGGAGGGUGAAAGUUCCAUGUUCAGAUAGUUAGAGGCAUCUAACGAGUAAACAGACCGCGUAUUCGGAUUCGUUGGAUUUUUCUGAGCAACUUCAAACUUCACUUGAAUUUGAAUUGACUGGAAUUUCAAAUGGGAUAUUGAACGAAGGUGAUUAAGCACUGUUUGGAAAAAAGAUUAGCUUAAUCAUAGAGGGUUACUGUAGCAUGACACCGGGGGUGUUACAACGGGGUGCGGUGCUUUGGGCGGGACGCGGCGAUGAUUCUUCAUGGGGAGGCGUCGAGGGCAUGGGCCUGUGUCGGAGUCGCGAAGGUUGCUCGAAGUUCGUCGUGCGGGGUUGUGUCGUCUCGCCGGAUCUAGUGCAGAAGUCUUGUUCGUGCGGGUUGGUGGCAUCGACUUUGUUCCGGCAUUGCUCUUAGCAUGAGCUGCAACAUAAAGGUUGACCAGUGGUGUCUCACGCCGCGCUGCAGUGCUUGGUGGCGGUCCGGCGGGGCUGUGCGGUAAAUGCCUGAUGUCUACUACACAUCUUGUUCUUGUAGACUCGUGUUGGGCCUCCAAGCAUAGAGUUUUGUAGGACAGUAGCAAAUUUUCCUCAAAUGGAUGACCUAAGGUUUAUCAAUUCGUGGGAGGCGUAGGAUGAAGAUGAUCUCUCUCAAACAACCCUGCAACCAAAUAAUAAAGAGUCUUUUGUGUCCCCAACAAACCAAAUACAAUGGUAAAUUGUAUAGGUGCGCUAGUUAGGCGAAGAGAUGGUGAUACAAGUGUAGUAAUGAUAGUAGAUAUUGAUUUUUGUAAUAGUAACAAUAAAAAACAGCAAGGUAAUGAGUAACAAAAGUGAGCACAAACGGUAUUGCAAUGCUUAGAAACAAGGCUCAUGGUUCGUACUUUCGCUAGCACAAUCUCUUAACAAUGCUAAUAUAAUUGGUUCAUAUAACCAUCCCUCAACGUGCGAUGAAAAAUCACUCCAAAGUUCUUAUCCGGAGAACAUAAGAUGAAAUUCUUUGCACGGUACGAAACCACCUCAAAGUUAUCCUUUCCGAUCGAUCUACCCAAGAGUUCGUACUAAAAUAACACCAAGUUAUCCUUUUCGAUCUAUCUAUCUAAGAGUUUGUUCUAAAAUAACAUCAUAUGAUACACAUCAACCAACUCUAAUGUCACCUAGAUACUCCAAUGUCACACGAGUAUCCAUGAGUUGAUUAUACGAUAUGCAUCAACCAAUUUCAGAUUCAUAAUACUCAAUCCAACACAAAGAACCCCAAAGGGUGCCCAAAGAUUUCUACCGGAGAAAUAAAGACGAGAACGUGCAUCAACCCCUAUGCAUAGAUUACCUUAAUGUCACUUCUGGAAUCCGUGAGUUGAGUGCCAAAACAUAUAUCAAGUGAAUCAGUAUGAUACCCCAUUGUUAUCACGGGUAUUCAUAGCAAGACAUACAUCAAGUGCUCUCAAAUCCAUAAAAGUAUUCAGUCCGAUAAUAACGAAAUCUCAAAAGGAAAACUAAAAUCAUCACAACAAGAUAGAUAGGGAGAAACACCAUAUGAUCCAACUAUAUUCACAAAGAUCGCGAUACAUCAAGAUCGUGCCAAAUUAAGAACACGAGAGAGAGAGAGAGAGAGAGAGAGAGAGAGAGAGAGAGAGAGAGAGAGAGAGAGAAAUCAAACACAUAGCUACUAGUACAACCCUUCAGCCCCGAUGGUGGACUACUCCCUCCUCAUCAAGGUGGCCGCCGGGAUGAUGAAGAUGGCCUCCGGUGAUGAUUUCCCCCUCCGGCAGGGUGCCGGAACAGGGUCCAGAUUGGUUUUUUGUGGCUACAAAGGCUUGCGGCGGCGGAACUGUAGCACCCAAGAUGCGAUUCUAUCCCAAUCACGUGAUGAAUUCAUGAUUGGGGCACAACCGCAUUUCGAACGCAUAGCAAGGUGGAUAUCAUUCCAACAUACCAUGUAAUGAAUAGGUAAGAAUACAAGAUAAAGGCUUACAGUGGCCACAAGCUACAACAUGAAUACAUGAAUACAUCAAUACAUAGCAAUCAUCAUACAGAAGAGUAGGAUCCGACUAUGGAUGAAAUCAAACGAAAAAUAAGAAUGACAUCCACCCAGCUAAUCCUAGGCUCCCGACCCGGAACCUAUCCCUUGAUCGAAGAAGAAGAAGCAGAAGAACUCCAAAACAAGAAAACAUCGCCCUCACGUCAGGUCAUCGCAUUACCUGUACAUGCAACUGUUGUUGUAGUAAUCUAUGAGCCACGAGGACUCAGCAAUCCCAUUACCAUGGGUAUCAGGACUAGCAAAACUUAAUGGGUAUGGAAUAGAUAAGUGGUGAGGUUGCAGCAAACACUAAGAAUUGUAUGGUGGCUAACUUCCGAGUACAGAAUAAGAAGAGAAACUACGCAUAAGGUCGCAAUCUAUUAAUGAUCAAGAAGUGAUCCUGAACUACUUACAAUUCAAUCGUAACCCCACCGUAUUCUCUUCCAGAACUCACUCGAAAAGAGACGGUCACGGUUACGCAUACGGUUGGUGUAUUUUAUUUCGGAUCUGGUGUCAAGUUAUCUACAACCGGAUAAUAUAAAUUUCCAAUUUGCCACAUAACUGUGGGCACGGCUCUCGAAAAGAUUAAACCCUGCAGGGAUGUCCCAACUUAGUACAUCACAAACUAUCACGAUCCGCGGAGGUAAAUCUCCAUCUCAGGACAACCCGAUCAAACUCGGAAUCCCGAUGCACAAGACAUUUCGACAAUGAUAAAACAAAACCAGCAAGACCUCUACGUGCCGACACCCUGAUAAUAUCCGCGCGUAUCUCGUCUUAGGCCACGACAGAUGAGCGAAGCUUACGAUCGCUGAGACCCAAGUUGCCAAGGGGGUGCCGCAAGGUGCUCUAUUUUGGACCAACACUCAUGAGGAGCACUGGCCUGGGGUUGUUGAUUAAUUAUCCUCGGGGUCCGGAAAGGCACUAUGCAAGUUUUAGUUGUUAUUAGGCAAAUGGUAAAACCGAAGUUGGGCCUUGAUGGAAGAGUUUUAUUCAAAACAAACUGUCAAGGGGGCCCGUAAACCCCGACCGUGUUAGGAACGCAAAAUCAAGGAACAUAACAUCGAUAUGAUGGAAACUAGGACGGCAAGAGUGAAACAAAACAGCAGGCAAAAGGCCGAGCCUUCCACCCUUUACCAAGUAUAUAGAUGCAUUAAUUAAAUAAAAGAUACUGUGAUAUCCCAUGAUAUCCAUGUCCCAACAUGGAACAAACUGCAACUGCAGAUGCAAUUAGCAACGCCAUAAGAGGGGCUGAGCAAAGCCAAACAACGGUUUGCUGGGAUGGUGGAAAAGGUUAGAGGCUGAUCAUGGCAUAUUGGGAGGCUUGACAAACAAGUGGUAGCUAGGUAGCGCAACAUAGCGAUAGAAUCGAGACAACUAGCAAAACAAACAUAGUAGUGGUAUCCGGGUAAUGAUCAUCUUGCCUGAAAUCCCGCUAGGAGGAAGACCGAAUCCAUGAAGUAGACGAAUAGUCGACCGAAUCCUCACAAUCACAACAUAACUGGAACUAUCGAGAAGAAGCAUAACCGGAAAAAAUCAAACAACAUGGUAAACAACCAUCACAUAAACAUGGCAUGAUGCACAAUCAAGUGUGAUGCAUGUCCGGUUUAAAGAGGCAUGGCAUGGCAAAGUGCAACAAACAAUACUACAAGUUAAGUGGAGCUCAAUAUGCAACAAGUUGCAUAUUGACGAAACACCACAUUCAGUUAUUUGGUCCACUCUCGUUUAUGUACCCAACAAUAUUAAAUGUUGUUAAACAUGGCAAGAGGGGAAGCAUAAUAAAACUACCUAUGUAGGCAAGUUUAAAUGAGGCCGGAACAACAAUUAACAAUUCUGGAAAAUCCCCAUAUGCAUAUUCCGAAUUUGCUACUGUUCUGCCCUAUACAUAAUUUUAGAGUUGCUAAACAUGCAAAGUAAUGCCACCAUGUUAAUCUAUGCAUUUUUCUACUCCAAUUACAUAUAUAGUUUAUUUAAUUCAGAGCUACGGUUAAUUAGUUAUGAAAUAAACCAUUUUAGCAUGCCAUUUGUGCAAAUUAAUGCAAACAAUAAUUUUAGGCAUUUUAAACAUGGAUGAAAGUUGCAUAGUAUGAAACUAGAUGAAAUUCUAAGCAUUUUACAUAUAUAUAUUUUUAAUUUCAAUGCACCAUUAUUUAGUUAUUAUAUGCAUGAGGAUGACAUUUUAAAGUUGACGCAAAUUGAAUGAAAAUGUUGUCAUAUGUGAUAUGGAACAUUUAUCGCCACGGCGGAAAGAAUUGGGUGCCACAGUGGUGAACACGAAAAUGGUGCCACGACAAAGUUCCGAUGAUCUGGCAACCCAUUGAGAUGCCGGUGGAGAAGAUCAAAUGUGAGAUGGUGAAGCAUGCAAGAGUGACGGGGAGUGAUUGUUGGGGAUCGUUGCAGAAACUAAAAAAAUUCUAUGCAUCACCAAGAUCAAUCUAUGGAGAAACUAGCAACGAAAGAGAGGGGAGUGCAUCUUCAUACCCAUGAAGAUCGCGACACGGAAGCAUUACAAGAACACGAAUGAAGGAGUCGUACUCGUAGUGAUUCAGAUCGCGGUGGAUUCCGAUCUAAGCACCGAACAAGGGCACCUCCGCGUUCAAGACACGUGCAGCCCAGUGACGUCUCCCGCACCUUGAUCUAGCAAGGAGGAGGGAGAGGUUGAGGAAGACGGCUCCACCAGCAGCACUACGGCGUGGUGGUGGUGGAGCAGCGGUUCUCCGGUAGGGCUUCGCCAAGCUCAAACGAAGGAGGAGAGGUGUUGGAGAGGGGGAGGGCUGCGCCUUGGAUGUGGUGCUGCUGCCCUCCCUCCUCCCCUCUAUUUAUAGGGUGAAGGGGGAAGGGGGUCGGCCCCUCUAGAUGAGAUCUAGAGGGGGGCGGCGGCCAAGGGGAGGGGGGUUGCCCCCCAAGCCACCCUAGGCGCAUGGGCCCUAGGGGGGUGGUGCCCAGCCCACCUAGGGGCUGGUUCCCUUCCACAUACAUCCCAUAGGGCCCUCCGGGGCAGGUGGACCCUCCCGGUAGACCCCCGGAACCCCUACGAUGGCCCCGGUACAAUACCGGCAAACCCCGAAUACUUCCGGUGACCAUAUGAUGACUUCCUAUAUAUAAAUCUUCAGCUCCGGACCAUUUUGGAACUCCUCAUGACGUCCGGGAUCUCAUCCGGGACUCCGAACAACAUUCGGCAACCAUGUACAAACCUUCCUUAUAACCCUAGUGUCAUUGAACCUUAAGUGUGUAGACCCUACGUGUUCGGGAAUCAUGCAGACAUGACCGAGAUAGCUCUCCGGCCAACAACCAACAGCAGGAUCUGGAUACCCAUGUUGGCUCCCACAUGUUCCACGAUGGUCUCAUCGGAUGAACCAUGAUGUCGAGUAUUCAAGUAAUCCCGUAUACAAUUCCCUUUGUCAAUUGGUACGUUACUUGCCCGAGAUUCGAUCGUCGGUAUCCCAAUACCUUGUUCAAUCUCGUUAUCGGCAAGUCACUUUACUUGUUCUGUAAUGCAUGAUCCUGUGACCAACUACUUAGUCACAUUGAUCUCAUUAUGAUGAUGCAUUACUGAGUGGGCCCAGAGAUACCUCUCCGUCAUACGGAGUGACAAAUCCCAGUCUCUAUUCGUGCCAACCCAACAGACACUUUCGGAGAUACCUGUAGUGCACCUUUAUAGCCACCCAGUUACGCUGUGACGUUUGGUACACCCAAAGCAUUCCUACGGUAUCCGGGAGUUGCACAAUCUCAUGGUCUAAGGAAAUGAUACUUGACAUUAGAAAAGCUUUAGCAGACGAACUACACGAUCUUGCGCUAUGCUUAGGAUUGGGUCUUGUCCAUCACAUCAUUCUCCUAAUGAUGUGAUCCCAUUAUCAAUGACAUCAAAUGUCCAUAGUCAGGAAACCAUGACCAUCUGUUGAUCAACGAGCUAGUCAACUAGGGGUUCACUAGGGACUUGUUGUGGUCUAUGUAUUCACACAUGUAUUAUGGUUUCCGGUUAAUACAAUUAUAGCAUGAACAAUAGACAAUUAUCAUGAACAAGGAAAUAUAAUAAUAACCAUUUUAUUAUUGCCUCUAGGGCAUAUUUCCAACAGUCUCCCACUUGCACUGGAGUCAAUAAUCUAGUUACAUUGUGAUGAAUCGAACACCCAUAGAGUCCUGGUGUUGAUCAUGUUUUGCUCGUGGAAGAGGUUUAGUCAACGGAUCUGCGACAUUCAGAUCCGUAUGCACUUUACAAAUAUCUAUGUCUCCAUCUUGAACAUUUUCAUGAAUGGAGUUGAAGCAACGCUUGAUGUGCCUGGUCUUCUUGUGAAACAUGGGCUCCUUGGCAAGGGCAAUAGCUCCAGUGUUGUCACAGAAGAGAGUCAUCGGGCCCGAUGCAUUGGGAAUAACUCCUAGGUCGGUAAUGAACUUCUUCAUCCAGAUUGCUUCAUGUGCUGCCUCCGAGGCUGCCAUGUAUUCCGCUUCACAUGUAGAUCCCGCCAUGAUGCUUUGCUUGCAACUGCACCAGCUUACUGCCCCACCAUUCAAAAUAUACACGUAUCCGGUUUGUGCCUUGGAGUCAUCUAGAUCUGUGUCGAAGCUAGCAUCGACGUAACCCUUUACGACAAGCUCUUCGUCACCUCCAUAAACGAGAAACAUAUCCCUAGUUCUUUUUAGGUACUUCAGGAUAUUCUUGACUGCUGUCCAGUGUUCCAUGCCGGGAUUACUUUGGUACCUCCCUACCAAACUUACGACAAGGUUUACAUCAGGUCUGGUACAUAGAAUGGCAUACAUAAUAGACCCUAUGGCUGAGGCAUAGGGGAUGACACUCAUCUUUUCUCUAUCUUCCGCUGUGGUCGGGCUUUGAGCCGAGCUCAGUUUCACACCUUGCAAUACAGGCAAGAACCCCUUCUUGGACUGAUCCAUAUUGAACUUCUUCAAUAUCUUAUCAAGGUAUGUGCUUUUGUGAAAGACCUAUGAGGCGUCUCGAUCUAUCUCUAUAGAUCUUGAUGCCUAAUAUGUAAGCAGCUUCUCCAAGAUCCUUCAUUGAAAAACACUUAUUCAAGUAGGCCUUUAUGCUUUCCAAAAGUUAUAUAUCAUUUCCCAUCAAUAGUAUGUCAUCCACAUAUAAUAUGAGAAAUGCUACAGAGCUCCCACUCACUUUCUUGUAAACGCGGGCUUCUCCAUAAGUCUGCAUAAACCCAAACGCUUUGAUCAUUUCAUCAAAGCGAAUGUUCCAAUUCCGAGAUGCUUGCACUAGCCCAUAGAUGGAGCGCUGGAGCUUGCAUACCUUGUUAACAUUCUUAGGAUCGACAAAACCUUCCAGCUGCAUCAUAUACAAUUCUUCCUUAAGGAAGCUGUUAAGGAAUGCCGUUUUGACGUCCAUUUACCAUAUAUCAUAAUCAUAGAAUGCGGCAAUUGCUAACAUGAUUCGGACGGACUUCAGCUUCGCUACGAGUGAGAAGGUCUCAUCGUAGUCAACCACUUGAACUUGUCGAUAACCCUUAGCGACAAGCCGAGCUUUAUAGAUGGUAACAUUACCAUCCGCGUCCGUCUUCUUCUUAAAGAUCCAUUUAUUUUCUAUCACUCGCCGAUCAUCGGGCAAGUCUGUCAAAGUCCAUACUUUGUUUUCAUACAUGGAUCCUAUCUCGGAUUGCAUGGUUCAAGCCAUUUGUUGGAAUUUUGGCCCGCCAUUGCUUCUUCAUAGUUCGAAGGUUCACCGUUGUCUAACAACAUGAUUUCCAGGACAGGGUUGCCAUACCAUUCUGGUGUGGAACGUGUCCUUGUGGACCUACGAAGUUCAGUAGCAACUUGAUCCGAAGUACCUUGAUCAUCAUCAUUAACUUCCUCUCUAGUUGGUGCAGGCACCACAGGAACAUCUUCCUGAGCUGCGCUACUUUCCGGUUCAAGAGGCAGUACUUCAUCAAGUUCUACUUUCCUCCCACUUACUUCUUUCAAGAGAAACUCUUUCUCCAGAAAGGACCCGUUCUUGGCAACAAAGAUCUUGCCUUCGGAUCUGAGGUAGAAGGUAUACCCAAUGGUUUCCUUAGGGUAUCCUAUGAAGACGCAUUUUUCCGACUUGGGUUCGAGCUUUUCAGGUUGAAGUUUCUUGACAUAAGCAUCGCAUCCCCAAACUUUUAGAAACGACUGCUUAGGUUUCCUCCCAAACCAUAAUUCAUACGGUGUCGUCUCAACGGAUUUAAACGGUGCCCUAUUUAAAGUGAAUGUGGCUGUCUCUAAAGCGUAUCCACAGAAUGAUAGCGGCAAAUCAGUAAGAGACAUCAUAGAUCGCACCAUAUCCAAUAGAGUGCGAUUACGAUGUUCGGACACACCAUUACGCUGAGGUGUUCUAGGCGGCGUGAGUUGUGAAACAAUUCCACAUUUCCUUACGUGCAUACCAAAUUCGUGACUCAAAUAUUCUCCCCCACAUCUGAUCAUAAGAACUUUAUUUUUCUAUCACGUUGAUUCUCUACCUCACUCUAAAAUUCCUUGAACUUUUCAAAGGUCUCAGACUUGGGUUUCAUCAAGUAGACAUACCCAUAUCUACUCAAGCCAUCAGUGAGGGUGAGAACAUAACGAUAGCCACCGCGAGCCUCAACGCUCAUUAGACCGCACACAUCAGUAUGUAUGAUUUCCAAUAAGUUGGUUGCUCGCUCCAUUGUUCCGGAGAACGGAGUCUUGGUCAUUUUUCCCAUGAGGCAUGGUUCGCAUGUGUCAAAUGAUUCGUAAUCAAGAGACUCCAAAAGUCCAUCUGCAUGGAGCUUCUUCAUGCGUUUGACACCAAUGUGACCAAGGCGGCAAUGCCACAAAUAUGUGGGACUAUCAUUAUCAACCUUACAUCUUUUGGUAUUCACACUAUGAAUAUGUGUAACAUCAUGUUCAAGAUUCAUUAAGAAUAAACCAUUGACCAACGGGCAUGACCAUAAAACAUAUCUCUCAUAUAAAUAGAAGAACCAUUAUUCUCGGAUUUAAAUGAGCAGCCAUCUCGCAUUAAACGAGAUCCAGAUACAAUGUUCAUGCUCAAAGCUGGCACUAAAUAACAAUUAUUGAGGUUUAAAACUAAUCCCGUAGGUAAAUGUAGAGGUAGCGUGCCUACAUCGAUCACAUUGACCUUGGAACCAUUCCCGACGCGCAUCGUCACCUCGUCCUUCGCCAGUCUCCGCUUAUUUCGCAACUCCUGUUUUGAGUUACAAAUAUGAGCAACCGCACCGGUAUCAAAUACCCAGGAGCUACUACGAGUACUGGUAAGGUACACACCAAUAACAUGUAUAUCACAUAUACCUUUGGUGUUGCCGGCCUUCUUGUCCGCUAAGUAGUUGGGGCAGUUCCACUUCCAGUGACCGUUUCCCUUGCAAUAAAAGCACUCAGUCCCAGGUUUGGUUCCAUGCUUUGGCUUCUUCCCGGCAACUGGCUUACCGGGCGCGGCAACUCCCUUGCCAUCCUUCUUGAAGUUCUUAUUACCCUUGCCUUUCUUGAAACUAGUGGUUUUAUUGACCAUCAACACUUGAUGUUCCUUUUUGAUCUCCACCUUCGCUGAUUUCAGCAUUGAAUAUACCUCAGGAAUGGUUUUCACCAUCCCCUGCAUAUUGAAAUUCAUCACAAAGCUCUUGUAGCUAGGUGGAAGCGACUGGAGGAUUCUGUCGAUGACCGCGUCAUCCGGGAGAUUAACUCCCAGCUGAGACAAGCGGUUGUGCAACCCAGACAUUUUGAGUAUGUGCUCGCUGACAGAACCAUUCUCCUCCAUCUUACAACUAUAGAACUUGUCAGAGACUUCAUAUCUCUCGACCCGGGCAUGAGCUUGGAAAACCAUUUUCAGCUCUUGGAACAUCUCAUAUGCUCUGUGUUGCUCAAAACGCUUUUGGAGCCCCGAUUCUAAGCUGUAAAGCAUGCCGCACUGAACCAGGGAGUAAUCAUCACUACGCGACUGCCAGGUGUUCAUAACGUCUUGAGUUGCUGGGAAAACAGGUGCUUCACCUAGCGGUGCAUCUAGGACAUAUGCUUUCUUGGCAGCUAUGAGGAUGAUCCUCCAGUUUCGGACCUAGUCCGUAUAGUUGCUACCAUCGUCUUUCAGCUUGGUUUUCUCUAGGAACGUGUUGAAGUUGAGGGCAAAAUUAGCGUGGGCCAUUUGAUCUACAAGACAUAUUGCAAAGAUUUUAGACUAAGUUCAUGAUAAUUAAGUUCAUCUAAUCAAAUUAUUUAAUGAAUUCCCACUCAGAUAGACAUCCCUCUAGUCAUCUAAGUGACACAUGAUCCGAGUCAACUAGGCCGCGUCCGAUCAUCACGUGAGACGGACUAGUCAUCAUCGGUGAACAUCUUCAUGUUGAUCGUAUCUACUAUACGACUCAUGUUCGACCUUUUGGUCUCUUGUGUUUCGAGGUCAUGUCUGUACAUGCUAGGCUCGUCAAGUCAACCUAAGUGUUUUGCAUGUGUAAAUCUGGCUUACACCCGUUGUAUGCGAACGUUAGGAUCUAUCACACCCGAUCAUCACGUGGUGCUUAGAAACAACAAACUUUCACAAUGGUGCAUAGUUAGGGGGAACACUUCCUUGAAAUUUUAUGAGGGUUCAUCUUAUUUAUGCUACCUCCGUUCUAAGCAAAUAAGAUGUAAAACAUGAUAAACAUCACAUGCAAUCAAAUAGUGACAUGAUAUGGCCAAUAUCAUUUUGCUCCUUUUGAUCUCCAUCUUCAGGGCGCCAUGAUCAUCGUCGUCACCGGCAUGACACCAUGAUCUCCAUCAUCGUGUCUUCAUGAAGUUGUCUCGCCAACUAUUACCUCUACUUCUAUGGCUAACGGUUUAGCAAUAAAGUAAAGUAAUUACAUGGCGUUAUUCAAUGACACGCAUGUCAUACAAUAAAUUAAGACAACUCCUAUGGCUCCUGCCGGUUGUCAUACUCAUCGACAUGCAAGUCGUGAUUCCUAUUACAAGAACCUGAUCAAUCUCAUACAUCACAUAUAUAUAUAUCAUUCAUCACAUCCUUUUGGCCAUAUCACAUCACACGGCAUAUGCUGCAAGAACAAGUUAGACAUCCUCUAAUUGUUGUUGCAAGUUUUUUUAUGUGGCUGCUAUAGGUUUCUAGCAAGAACGUUUCUUACCUACGCCCAAACCACAACAUGAUAUGCCAAUUGCUAUUUACCCUUCAUAAGGACCCUUUUCAUCAAAUCCAAUCCGACUAAAGUGGGAGAGACAGACACCCGCUAGCCACCUUAUGCAACUAGCGCAUGUCAGUCGGUGGAACCUAUCUCACGUGAGCGUAAGUGUAAGGUCGGCCCGGGCCGCUUCAUCCCAUGAUGCCGCUGAAUCAAGAUAAGACUAGUAGUGGCAAGUAAAUUGACAAAAUCGACGCCCACAACAACUUGUGUUCUACUCGUGCAUAGAAACUACGCAUAGACCUAGCUCAUGAUGCCACUGUUGGGGAUCGUUGCAGAAAUUAAAAAAAUUCUAUGCAUCACCAAGAUCAAUAUAUGGAGAAACUAGCAACAAGAGAGAGGGGAGUGCAUCUUCAUACCCUUGAAGAUCGCGACACAGAAGCAUUACAAGAACACAGAUGAAGGAGUUGUACUCAUAGUGAUUCAGAUCCCGGUGGAUUCCGAUCUAAGCGCGAACAACGGCACCUCCAUGUUCAACACACGUGCAGCCCGGUGACGUCUCCCGCACCUUGAUCCAGCAAGGAGGAGGGAGAGGUUGAGGAAGACAGCUCCAGCAGUAGCACGACGGCGUGGUGGUGGUGGAGCAGCGGUUCUCCGGCAGGGCUUCGCCAAGCUCAAAUGGAGGAGGAGAGGUGUUGGAGAGGGGGAGGGCUGCGCCUUGGAUGUGGUGCUGCUGCCCUCCCUCCUCCCCUCUAUUUAUAGGGUGAAGGGGGAAGGGGNNNNNNNNNNNNNNNNNNNNNNNNNNNNNNNNNNNNNNNNNNNNNNNNNNNNNNNNNNNNNNNNNNNNNNNNNNNNNNNNNNNNNNNNNNNNNNNNNNNNNNNNNNNNNNNNNNNNNNNNNNNNNNNNNNNNNNNNNNNNNNNNNNNNNNNNNNNNNNNNNNNNNNNNNNNNNNNNNNNNNNNNNNNNNNNNNNNNNNNNNNNNNNNNNNNNNNNNNNNNNNNCCCCCAAGCCAAGGGGCGCCCCUUUAGGGUCCCCCCCCAAACCCUAGACGCAUGGGCCCUAGGGGGGUGGCGCCGAGCCCACCUACGGGCUGGUUCCCUUCCACAUACAGCCCAUAGGGCCCUCCGGGGCAGGUGGACCCUCCUGGUGGACCCCCGAAACCCCUUCGGUGGCCCCGGUACAAUACCGGCAAACCCCGAAUACAUUCGGUGACCAUAUGAUGACUUCCCAUAUAUAAAUCUUCACCUCCGGACCAUUCUGGAACUCCUCGUGACGUCCGGGAUCUCAUCCGGGACUCCGAACAACAUUUGGUAACCAUGUACAUACCUUCCUUAUAACCCUAGCGUCAUCAAACCUUAAGUGUGUAGACCCUACGGGUCCGGGAAUCAUGCAGAAAUGACUGAGACAUCUCUCCGGCCAGUAACCAAUAACGGGAUCUUGAUACCCAUGUUGGCUCCCACAUGUUCUAUGAUGAUCUCAUCGGAUGAACCACGAUGUCAAGGAUUCAGGUAAUCCCGUAUACAAUUCCCUUUGUCAAUCGGUACGUUACUUGCCCAAGAUUCGAUCGUCGGUAUCCCAAUACCUCGUUCAAUCUCGUUAUCGGCAAGUCACUUUACUUGUUUCGUAAUGCAUGAUCCCGUGCCAACUACUUAGUCACUUGAGCUCAUUAUGAUGAUACAUUACCGAGUGGGCCCAGAGAUACCUCUCCGUCAUACAGAGUGACAAAUCCCAGUCUCGAUUUGUGCCAACCCAACAGACACUUUUGGAGGUACCUGUAGUGCACCUUUAUAGCCACCCAGUUACAUUGUGACGUUUGGUACACCCAAAUCAUUCCUACGGUAUCCAGGAGUUGCACAAUCUCAUGGUCUCAGGAAAUGAUACUUGACAUUAGAAAAGCUUUAGCAGACGAACUACACGAUUUUGUGCUAUGCUUAGGAUUCGGUCUUGUCCAUCACAUCAUUCUCCUAAUGAUGUGAUCCUGUUACCAUUGACAUCCAAUGUCCAUAGUCAGGAAACCAUGACCAUCUGUUGAUCAACGAGCUAGUCAACUAGAGGCUCACUAGGGACUUGUUGUGGUCUAUGUAUUCACACAUGUAUUAUGGUUUCCAGUUAAUACAAUUAUAGCAUGAACAAUAGACAAUUAUCAUGAACAAGGAAAUAUAAUAAUAACCAUUUUAUUAUUGCCUCUAGGGCAUAUUUCCAAUAGUGAUCUCGAUUACCGGGUGUCCCACGAGAGGUGGCAAGGGAAACGAGGAACGUGCAAGAGCCAAUUUGGCCACGAUGCAAAACAUUGGGUGCUUGUCAUACGACACACAUGCAUUCGUCCAUGGAUGGUCAUCUCGAUGGUUAUACCUUUGAAACGUGCGUUUUGGGAGCGGAUCAUGUUUUAUGGUAGUGGAAGUAGUGGUUCACGCUUUGGAGAGGAACUUGACGAAUCCGAGUUCUUUGGGGUAAUCGGGUACUCGUUCACGUUGUAGUCGUACAUGGUUCGUAGACAUCCAGUGCGGCCAGGAGGUACUUGGAGCAUCGUUAUGAAGGUCGUACACGGAUCCAGAAGAGGAACUUGGCGCCCAGGGGCUUCGCGGGUGAUACGUCUCCAACGUAUCUAUAAUUUAUGAAGCAUUCAUGCUAUUUUAUUAUCUGUUUUGAAUGUUUAUGGGCUUUAUUAUACACUUUUAUAUUAUUUUUGGGACUAACCUAUUAACCGAAGGACCAGCCCAUAUUGUUGUUUUCUUGCCUAUUUCAGUGUUUCGAAGAAAAGGAAUAUCAAACAGAGUCCAAACGGAAUGAAACCUUCGGGGGCGUUAUUUUUUGAACGGAAGCGGUCCAGGAGACUUGGAGUUGAAGUCAAGGAAGCUUCAAGGUGGCCACGAGGGUGGGGGGGCACGCCCCUGUCUCAUGGGCCCCUCGUGGCUCCCCCUACCGACUUCUUUCGCCUAUAUAUUCCCAUAUACCCUAAAAACAUCGAAGCAAACAAUAGAUCGGGAGUUCCGCCACCGCAAGCCUGUGUAGCCACCAAAAACCUCUCGGGAGCCCAUUCCGGCACCCCACUAGAGGGGGGGGGGAUCCCUCACCGGUGGCCAUCUUCAUCAUCCCGGCGCUCUCCAUGACGAGGAGGGAGUAGUUCACCCUCGGGGCUUAGGGUAUGUACCAGUAGCUAUGUGUUUGAUCUCUCUCUCUUGUGUUCUUGACUUCACACGAUCUUGAUGUAUCGCGAGCUUUGCUAUUAUAGUUGGAUCUUAUGAUGUUUCUCCCCCUCUAAUCUCUUGUAAUGGAUUGAGUUUUCCCUUUUAAGUUAUCUUAUCGGAUUGAGUCUUUAAGGAUUUGAGAACACUUGAUGUAUGUCUUGCCAUGCUUAUCUGUGGUGACAAUGGGAUAUCACGUGAUCCACUUGAUGUAUGUUUUGGUGAUCAACUUGCGGGUUCCGCCCAUGAACCUAUGCAUAGGGGUUGGCACACGUUUUUGUCUUGACUCUCCGGUAGAAACUUUGGGGCACUCUUUGAAGUACUUUGUGUUGGUUGAAUAGAUGAAUCUGAGAUUGUGUGAUGCAUAUCGUAUAAUCAUGCCCACGGAUACUUGAGGUGACAAGGGAGUAUCUAGGUGACAUUAGGGUUUUGGUUGAUUCUGUCUUAAGGUGUUUUUCUAGUAUUAACUCUAUGAUAGAUUUAAUGGAAAUAAUAGCUUCAUGUUAUUUUAUUACGGACUCUUGAAUAGAUAGAACAGAAAGGAUAACUUUGAGGUGGUUUCGUACCCUGCCAUAAUCUCUUUGUUUGUUCUCUGCUAUUAGUGACUUUGGAGUGACUCUUUGUUGCAUGUUGAGGGAUAGUUAUAUAAUCCAAGUAUGUUAUUAUUGUUUAGAGAACUUGCACUAGUGAUAGUAUGAACCUUAGGCCUUGUUUCCUACUAUUGCAGUACCGUUUACGCUCACUUUUAUCAUUAGUUACCUUGCUGUUAUUAUAUUUUCAGAUUAUAAAAACCUAUAUCUACUAUCCAUAUUGCACUUGUAUCACCAUCUCUUUGCCGAACUAGUGCACCUAUACAAUUUACCAUUGUAUUGGGUGUGUUGGGGACACCAGAGACUCUUUGUUAUUUGGUUGCAGGGUUGUUUGAGAGAGACCAUCUUCAUCCUACGCUUCCCACGAAUUGAUAAACCUUAGGUCAUCCACUUGAGGGAAAUUUGCUACUGUCCUACAAACCUAUGCGCUUGGAGGCCCAACAACGUCUACAAGAAGAAGGUUGUGUAGUAGACAUCAAGCUCUUUUCUGGCGCCAUUGUCGGGGAGGUGAGUGUUUGAAGGUAUAUAUUUAGAUCUUGCAAUCGAAUCUUUUUGUUUCUUGUUUUAUCACUAGUUUAGUCUAUAAAAGAAAACUACAAAAAAUGGAAUUGAGUGUGUCUCAUAUGCUUCAUCUUUUUAAUAUCUUUUGUGAGUAUGAUGGAAAGGAAAAUUGUGCUCAAUUGCUAGAAGAAGAAUGUAUUAAAAUGCUUGGUACUAAAGCUUUGAAUGAUGAGCAUGAUUGCAAUGUUGUUAGUAUGAACUCUUUGAUUAUCCAUAGUACUAAUGAUGAUUGCACUAGUUAUGAUGAAAAUGUCUCCUAUAAGCAUGUCGAUUUUUGUGGAGUGAAUCGGAUUUGCAUGUACACACCAAAUAGGGAAAAUAGAUAUUGCAAGAGGCAUAAGCAUUUAGAAACUAAAUGGUUGCAAGAAAGGCUUAAUGUUAGUGCUGAAAAUUUAAGAUAUCUUUACCGUACUUGUGAACUUUGCAAUGAACAUGGUCAUUUAAAUAUCCAAUGCAAAUUGUUUCAUGAUCGAAUCGUGUCCAAAAAUUGUGAUGACUUGAUUUACCUUGAACAUCAUAAUGAACUUAGUUUUCUUUUGGGUUAUGAAGAAUUGAAACGUGUAACUAAGCAUAUUCUAGAAUUUAAUCUUGAGGAUUUUCUUGAUAUUAAUCUAGAGGAAAUUUAUUUGUGUUGUGCGGUGAAUUGUAUUGAAAAUCCUUAUAUUGCCAAUUACCUAAAGAAAAGAAAGCAAAUAGAAGAUGAAGAGAAUACUAAUGAAAGGGAAGAGACUUCCCAAUAUCCUCCUAUUAUUUCUUAUGAUGAAUCAGGUAACGAGGAGGAGCUUUCUAUUCAACCAAUCUCAUCUAUAAGGAGCUCAGAGAAGAAGGUUGAACCCACACAUAAUGUGAAGAAUAAAAAUAAAAGAAGGAGCAACAAAGGUAGAAAGGUAUCCCUCCCAAAUGAUGUUGCUCCUACUACUCAUUGUGAUGAUGAUAAUUGCUAUACUAUUGGUGCUAUCCAUACUAUUAAUGAUGAGAGUGAUUAUGCUUAUGAUAUGAAAAGUCCCAAGCUUGGGGAUGCUAUGUUUGAUGAGGAUGACAUAUUUGAGAAUAUAUUUGCUGAAAUUAGUUUUUGUCCCAAGCUUGGGGAUGCUAUGCUUAAUGAAGAUGAUAUUUUUAGCCUCCCAAGUUUUGAUAUGCAAAGUUGUUAUGAUGAUAGCAUGCCUUCUACUCAUGAUGAUUAUAUUGAUGAAAGUGGGUUUGGAAGAGUGUCAACUCUAGGAAGUAAUGAUCCCACUAUUUUGGAGGAUGUUGAAUCUUAUAAUAUUUAUGAAAGUGGAUUUGGAAGAGUGUCAACUUUAUUUAGUGAUGAUUCCACUAUCUUGGAAGAGGUUUCAAUUGAUUAUGAUGAGAACAAAGUUGCUACUUAUGAUGAUUAUUGUGAUGAAACUUAUGCUAUAACAGGUAGUGAUGAUUAUAUUUAUAAAACUUGUCAUGAUAUGAUUACCCUUUUUCUGAACAUUACUCUUUUAAUGUGGAAACAGUUUUUAGUAUUCAAGUCUCUUAUGAUACUCCCACUAUUCCGAAUGAGAAGAAUUUUGCUUAUGUGGAGAGUAGUAAAUUUUUUGUGCUUGUAGAUCAUGAAAAGAAUGCUUUAGGUUCUGGUUAUAUUGUUGAAUUCAUUCAUGAUGCUACUGAAAAUUAUUAUGAGAUAGGAACAUAUGCUUGUAGGAAUUGCAAUAAUAUCAAGUUUCCUCUCUAUGUGCUUAAAAUCUUGAAGCUAUGCUUGUUUUGCCUUCCUAUGCUAGUUGAUUGUUGUUCCCAUAAGUUGUUUGCUCACAAAAUCCCUAUGCAUAGUAAUUGGGUUAUAAUUAAAUGAUCUAGUCUUAUGCUUCAUGAUGCUCCCGUUAUGUUUCAAUCCUUAUCUUUUAUGUGAGCAUCAUUGCCAUCAUCAUGCCUAGCUAGAAAGGCAUUAAAGAAAAGCGCUUGUUGGGAGACAACCCAAUAUGUAUCCUUACUGUAUUUGUGUGUUCACAUGAUUAUGCUACUGUAAUAAUCAUGUUUUAUAGCUUUUGUUUCAAUAAAGUGCCAAGUAAGACCUUUAGGAUAGCCUAGAUGAUAUUUGUGUUGAUCCUGCUGAAAAUCAGAAACUUUUGCACCCAGUAAAUUAGUUUUGAUAAUUCACAGAAAUGUUCUUCUGAUCUGAUUAUUUUUGCUCUGGAUGGUACACCAAUUUCUUAGGACUUCCUAAUUUGGUAGAAUGUUUGGAGUUCCAGAAGUAUACGUUUGAUACAGAUUACUACAGACUGUUCUGUUUUUGACAGAUUCUGUUUUCUAUGUGUUGUUUGCUUAUUUUGAUGAAUCUAUGAGUAGUAUCGGAGGGUAUGAACCAUAUAUAAGUUGUAAUACAGUAGAUAUUACACCAAUAUGAAUUUUGAAUGAGUUCAUUACAGUACCUAAGUGGUUGUUUUAUUUUCUUAUAAUAACGGGGCUUACGAGUUUUCUGUUGAGUUUUGUGUUGUGAAGUUUUCAAGUUUUGGGUAAAGAUUCGAUGGACUAUUGAAUAAGGAGUGGCAAGAGUAUAAGCUUGGGGAUGCCCAAGGCACCCCAAGUUAAUAUUCAAGGAUGGCCAAGAGCCUAAGCUUGGGGAUGCCGCGGAUGGCAUCCCCUCUUUCGUCUUCGUUCAUCGGUAACUUUACUUGGAGCUAUAUUUUUAUUCACCACAUGAUAUGUGUUUUGCUUGGAGCGUCAUUUUCUAUUGUUAGUAUUUUCUUUCUGUUAUUUAGAAUAAAUGUUUUGUAUCUAUAUUUUCAAUAAAAAUGUCAAGGAUAGCCUUUACCAUGCUUAUUUUGCUAGUAUACAUGUUGCUGUUUGAAAAUAGAAAGUUUACUGCUGUUGCAAAAAUUCCCUAGAAAAUUCAGAGAAUGAUAUAAUGUUGAAUUUUUUUGCAUAUUGAGAUCUGAUAAAUAUUCUACAUCUUAGUAUUUUUAUCAUAAUUUUUGGAGUUAGGGAAGUAUGAUGAAUCUUGCAUUCUUUACAGACUGUACUGUUUUGGCAGAUUGCUGUUAUGUUUGCAUUGUUUGCAUAUGUUUGCUUGUUUAAUGAUUCUAUUUGAGGAUAGGAGUAUUAAAUAUGCAGAGGCAUUUAGUAUGCAAUGUUGAAUAAUAAUUUUUGUGAUUUGUUACAGUAGAAAAUGAUAGGGUUUUGCAUUGGUUUAUACUAACUUAUCUCAUGAGUUCUUGUUGAGUUUUAUGUGGAUGAAGUUUUUGAGAAAUAGAGAAACCAUGAUAUGAGAGGGAUUAAGGAGACACAAAAGUUCAAGCUUUAGGUUGCCCAAGGCACCCCAAGAUAAUAUUUCAAGAAGUCUCAAGCAUCUAAGCUUGGGGAGGCCCCAUAGGCAUCCCACCUUUCUUCUUCAACAACUAUCGGUUAGUAUCGGUUGAGCCUAAGUUUUUGCGUUUUCACAUGAGUUGUGCUAUCCUUGCAAUGUCAUUUUAUUUUGUUUUGCUUGCUGUUUGAAUAAAAUACCAAGAUCUGAAAUUCUUAAAUGAGAGAGUCUUCACAUAGCUACAUAAUUAUUUAGCUACUCAUUGAUCUUCACUUAUAUCUUUUUGGAGUAGUUUGUCAUUUACUCGUGUGCUUCACUUAUAUCCUAUGAGUAAAUAGUUGAAUGAGUUGAAUGUCAUAAAUAUGAAAUUAUAUAUGUUUCAUUUGCUUAUCCCAUGGGGAGUAAUGACUUCACAUCUAAGAAGUAGAGGUUGUAAAUUUAUUGAAGGUUAGCAAGCAUUGUAUUGGUCAUUUGAACAAUUCAUAGAAUAUUGAAGGAAGAGAGAUUUCACAUAUAAAUAUACUAUCCUAGACAUCUUUUAUAAUUGUGAGCACUCAUUAAGUAUGACAUGCUAAAGAGUUGAUGUUGGACAAGGAAGACAACAUAAUGGGUUAUGUUUUCUCAUAUCUCAGUAAAAGUAUAUUGUCAUGGAUCAUUCAAGCAUGUUGAGCUUGCCUUUACCCCUCAUGCUAGCCAAAAUUCCCUGCACCAAGUAGAGAUACUACUUGUGCUUCCAAAUAUCCUUAAAACCCAGUUUUUGCCAUGAGAGUCCACCAUACCUACCUAUGGAUUGAGUAAGAUCCUUCAAGUAAGUUGUCAUGUUGCAAGCAAUAAAAAUUGCUCUCUAAAUAUGUAUGACUUAUUAGUGCGGAGAAAAUAAGCUUUAUACGAUCGUGUGAUAUGGAAGUAAUAAAAGGCACGGACUGCAUAAUAAAGGUUCAUAUCAAAAGUGGCAAUAUAAAGUGACAUUCUUUUGCAUUAAGAUUUUGUGCAUCCAACCCUAAAAGCACAUGACAACCUCUGCUUCCCUCUGCGAAGGGCCUAUCUUUUACUUUAUGUCUUUUACUUUAUGCAAGAUUCAAGGUGAUCUUCACCUUUCCCUUUUUCAUUUUAUCCUUUGGCAAGCACCUCGUGUUGGAAAGAUCAUGAUAUAUAUAUAUAUAUAUAUAUAUAUAUAUAUCCAAUUGGAUGUAAGUUAGCAUGAACUAUUAUUGUUGACAUCACCCAAAGGUGAAUACGUUGGGAGGCAACACUAUAAGCCCCUAUCUUUCUCAGUGUCCAAUUAAAACUCCAUAACCAUAAGUAUUGCAUGAGUGUUAGCAAUUGUAGAAGACUAUAUGAUAGUUGAGUAUGUGGAGUUUGCUAAUCAAAGCUCUAACAUAGACCCUUCCUGAAAAUAAGAUGAAUUGCAGUUGUUUGAUGAUUGAGAAUGAAGUUUGCUAGUUUUCAAGAAAGUUUAUGGCCUAUGCUUUAAUAUGUGAAUAGCUUGCUACUCGAUCUUGAGAAGUUUUAUGAGAUGAACUACUGUUAUGACAUAUAAUCAUGCUAGAAAAGGUGAUUGAAAUUAUCAUUGAUCAAACUUCUGCACCUUCUAGCAUUCACACUUCAUAAAUUCUUUUUUUUUAUCAUUUACCUACUCGAGGACGAGCAGGAAUUAAGCUUGGGGAUGCUGAUACGUCUCCAACGUAUCUAUAAUUUAUGAAGCAUUCAUGCUACUUUAUUAUCUGUUUUGAAUGUUUAUGGGCUUUAUUAUACACUUUUAUAUUAUUUUUGGGACUAACCUAUUAACCUGAGGCCCAACCCAUACUGUUGUUUUCUUGCCUAUUUCAGUGUUUCAAAGAAAAGGAAUAUCAAACAGAGUCAAAACAGAAUGAAACCUUCGGGAGCGUUAUUUUUGGAACGGAAGUGAUCCAGGAGACUUGGAGUUGAAGUCAAGGAAGCUUCGAGGUGGCCACGAGGGUGGGGGGCGCCCCCCUACUGGGCGUGCCCCCUAUCUCGUGGGCCCCUCGUGGCUCUCCCGACCAACUUCUUCCGCCUAUAUAUUCCCAUAUACCCUAAAAACAUCGAAGCAAACAAUAGAUCGGGAGUUCCGCCUCCGCAAGCCUCGGUAGCCACCAAAAACCUCUUGGGAGCCCGUUCCGGCACCCUGCUGUAGGGGGGGGGGAUCCCUCACCGGUGGCCAUCUUCAGCAUCCCGCCGCUCUCCAUGACGAGGAGGGAGUAGUUCACCCUCGGGGCUGAGGGUAUGUACCAGUAGCUAUGCGUUUGAUCUUUCUCUCUCGUCUUCUUUACUUUGCACAAUCUUGAUGUAUCGCGAGCUUUGCUAUUAUAGUUGGAGCUUAUGAUGUUUCUCCCCCUCUACUCUCUUUUAAUGGAUUGAGUUUUCCCUUUGAAGUUAUCUUAUCUGAUUGAGUCUUUAAGGAUUUGAGAACACUUGAUGUAUGUCUUGCUGUGCUUAUCUGUGGUGACAAUGGGAUAUCACGUGAUCCACUUGAUGUAUGUUUUGGUGAUCAACUUGAGGGUUCCGCCCAUGAACCUAUGCAUAGGGGUUAGCACACGUUUUUGUCUUGACUCUCCGGUAGAAACUUUGGGGCACUCUUUGAAGUACUUUGUGUUGGUUGAAUAGAUGAAUCUGAGAUUGUGUGAUGCAUAUCUAUAAUCAUGCCCACGGAUACUUGAGGUGACAAUGGAGUAUCUAGGUGACAUUAGGGUUUUGGUUGAUUUGUGUCUUAAGGUGUUAUUCUAGUAUGAACUCUAUGAUAGAUUGAACGGAAAGAAUAUCUUCAUGUUAUUUUAUUACGGACUCUUGAACAGAUAGAACAGAAAGGAUAACUUUGAGGUGGUUUCGUACCCUACCAUAAUCUCUUCGUUUGUUCUCCACUAUUAGUGACUUUGGAGUGACUAUUUGUUGCAUGUUGAGGGAUAGUUAUAUGAUCCAAGUAUGUUAUUAUUGUUGAGAGAACUUGCACUAGUGAUAGUAUGAACCUUAGGCCUUGUUUCCUACCAUUGCAAUACCGUUUACGCUCACUUUUAUCAUUAGUUACCUUACUGUUUUUAUAUUUUUAGAUUACAAAAACCUAUAUCUACUAUCCAUAUUUCACUUGUAUCACCAUCUCUUUGCCGAACUAGUGCACCUAUACAAUUUACCAUUGUAUUGGGUGUGUUGGGGACACAAGAGACUCUUUGUUAUUUGGUUGCAGGGUUGUUUGAGAGGGACCAUCUUCAUCCUACGCCUCCCACGGAUUAAUAAACCUUAGGUCAUCCACUUGAGGGAAAUUUUCUACUGUCCUACAAACCUCUGCACUUGGAGGCCCAACAACGUCUACAAGAAGAAGGUUGUGUAGUAGACAUCAGCGGGUUAUUCCUUUACUUUGCGUUCGGUGCGGUACUUGUCGAGCCAGAGGCGAAGUCGUGGUUGGAUGGUUUUGGCUGCAAAGGUGGUUGCAGCCACGGGAGGCCGUCGGAGAGGAGGGCCAUGGCGGGCACAGGUCUGCCGGACCUGCAACUGCGGCUGAUGACGACGGCAGGAGAGCUUGGGGUCAGCCAUGGUGUCAGCUUGGCCAGGGAGAUUGAUAACCCACAAUUAUAGGGGAUCGCAACAGUUUUCAAGGGUAGAGUAUUCAACCCAAAUUUAUUGAUUUUACACAAGGGGAGCCAAAGAAUAUUCUCAAGUAUUAGCAGCUGAGUUGUCAAUUCAACCACACCUGAAAGACUAAAUAUCUACAGCAAAGUAUUUAGUAGCAAAGUAGUAUGGAAGUAAUGGUAAUGGCUGCAAAAGUAACAGUAGCAGUUUUGUAGCAAUCGUAACCGUGGCAAUGGCAAAGUAACUGAGCAAAGAUCAAUAUGUGAAAAGCUCGAUGGCAAUGGAUCAGUGAUGGAUAAUUAUGUCGGAUGGCAUUCAUCAUGUAACGGUUAUAACAUAGGGUGACACAGAACUAGCUCCAAUUCAUCAAUAUAAUGUAGGCAUGUAAUCCGAAAAUAGUUAUACAUGCUUAUGGAAAAGAAAUUGCAUGACAUCUUUUGUUCUACCCUCCCGUGGCAGCGGGGUCUUAAUGGAAACUAAGGGAUAUUAAGGCCUCCUUUUAAUAGAGUACCAGACCAAAGCAUUAACACUUAGUGAAUACAUGAACUCCUCAUACUACGGUCAUCACCGGGAGUGGGCCCGACUAUUGUCACUCCGGGGUUGCCGGAUCAUAACACGUAGUAGGCACUACAAAAAAAUACACUUCCAUGAUGAUACGUGUUUGUCACAGUAGGUCGCAUUUUUUGUCAUGCAUGUACAUCCAUGACGAUUUUAUGACAGAAUCAAGAUAGUCAUACCUGUGCUGUCGUAGAAGUGUUCCAUGACAUUACCGAAAUUAUCAUCACGGAAGUGUCCACUUCCAUGACGAUAAAUCGCGCGUCACAAAAGUGCUUUCGUUAAGGGUGACCGACACAUGGCAUCCACAGUAAUGGAACGCCAUUAAGCUAUCGGGUCGGGUUUUGGAUCCGAUAACCCGUUAACAGCCUCGACCAAUGGGGAUUUUCCACAUGUAAAAUCAUCAUUGGCUGGAGGAAACACGUGUCGGCUCAUCGUUGGGACAGAUGUCAUCCACUCAUUGGACAUAAGGCGCCUAUGAUACGUCGACACGUGGCACGGCCCAACAGAGGCCCAUUCCUGUGAAAAGGCCGGCCCGUUUGACUUGGUCAAAAGGUGGCGGGCCGGCCCAUGGAAAGCCUAUUAACGACUUGUUCGCAUAUAGCCCAUUUACAACCCGCUAACCCAAGGCCCAUUACGCCCUAUCUGAAUUAGGCCCAGUAGCGUCAUCUGGGCCAUCCAAUAUGAUUCCAGCCCAUUUUCACUUCUGGCCCAUGUAUGGCCCAUGAUGUCUUUCGGCCCAUAUGAGGCCCUUUGUAACUCUUGGCCCAUUAACGGCCUGUGGUGAAACUGGCCCGUAAUGAAUAGUGUAUCACUUUACACCCAUUAACGGCCCAUGGUGAAACUGGCCCGUAAUGAACAGUGUAUCACUUUAUACCCAUUAACGGCCCGUUAUUCCGUUGGGCCGUUUCCAGCCCAUGUUAUCUUUCGGACUUCUCAGAGCCCAUUUAUUCUUGUGCUCAUUCUAGCAUUCAUUUACUUACGGCCCGUUACUGUCAUUUUCUGCUUGUGGGCCAAAUUCAGCCCGUGGUUACAGUCGGCCCGUUUGUGGUCCGUUAAUACGUUGGGCUGUUUUCAUAGCGUCAUCAAAUAUGGCCUAUUAAUGAUGGCCCGUUAUGGUCGGCCCAUGAACGGAUGAUUCCAACUCUAGCCCGUUUACGGCCAUAAUGCGGUCUGUUAUUGGCCCAUGUUUGGCCAAUCGAUCAUACGGCCCGUAUAAGGCCCAUUGAUGAUACGGCCCAUAGAAGGCCCAUUUUUUCUAUGGACCGUAGAAGGCCCAUUGUUUCUAUGACCCGUAGAAGGCCCAUUGUUUCUACGGCCCGUAGAAGGACCACUGUUUCUACGGCCUGUAGGAGGCCCAGUGUCACUACAGUAAAUAUUAGCCCAUGGUUGUUGUGGCCUAGUUUUAAAAAAUAGGUUAUUGCAGCCACUAGCAAACCGCGGAAAAAGAACUGCAAUGACUACAAGCAAACAAAUAAACAAGACAACAAGGAAAUAAAUAAGCAAGCAACUUACGCUAGGCUAUCACGGCUAUCACACAUAUUACAUUCACUGGGCAUCAAAGUUUGCCACCAGUGCAAAUAAACACACCGACAAAAGAAUAUACAAAACUAAGAGCACUUCAGAAGGCACUAGGCCUCACCAGGUCGGGCCCCCCAAACAGCUGAAGAAGCUGAGUAGACCUUAGUUGUGUCAACGAUAGAUGCAUCAACAGUAGAUGUAUGGCAUGAUGGUGCGCACGGCAGUCCUUUGACAUCUUCAUUACAUCUUUGACUUCAAGUCGGAGCUGAGCUGAAGCAAGCCUUUCCGCUUUAAGUUGAGACUGAAGAAGUCGAACUGAUUGAGGCACCGACUACACAUAGGUUGUCUCACACCUGCUGGUGAGUAGCUUCAACUCACUGUCUUCAUCAAGACAGGAACUUAGGGUCAUCUCGCUGUCCUCAAGAUGGUUUGGCUCACUAUCUUCCCUAAAGUUCUGCCUGGCGUAAGAGAUACGACUCUGAAAGAGAAACAAGGAGACACGUACCAGGUUUCACAAUUAUAUAAGCAAAUAAAUGGAUCUGUUCGCAUAAGGAACAUGUUUUUACAACUACAAUUUGAAACUGAUAGUUGUUGCAAACAUCCAAUCAGAUGUAAACAGCAAAGCAAAUAGCAGUGGAGGAAAUGAUGCCUAUCCAAAUCUAUACUAGAAUAAAGUUUGAAGGCUUGAGAAGGAUGAACUAACAUUACAUGUUAACACGGGCUGGACAAAGCCCUUCUCCAUGUUGAUGGAAGGAUAAUUCAAAAAAUUCCCCAAAGAAAAUUCUUUAUAAGCGUUGCCAUUAUUCUACAUUUUGCAAAGAGUAAAUAUAGAUCAAAUAAUAUUGGAAGAAACAGAGGAUAAUGAAUCUCAGGUGCAGACAGAUGAUACAUAAUCAAAUAGCAAUUAAUUAAGUACUCCCUCCAUUCCUCAAUAUAAGGUGUAUUAUUUUUCCAAAAAGUCAAACUUCUCUUAGUUUGACCAAGUUUAUAGACAAAAAUAUCAAUAUCUAGAAUACCAAAUCAUUAUCACUAGAUUCAUCAUGAACUAUAUUUUUACAUUUUAUAUAUUUAGUAUUAUAAAUCUUUAUAUAUUUUGCUGUAAAGUUGGUCAAACAUAGACAAUAGUUGACUUUUUGAAAUAUAAUACACCUUAUAUUUAGGAACGGAGGGAGUACAUCGUUACAAGGCAAAAGGGAGAGAGGUACUGACAAGAGCAAUGCAGAGCCCAGUAUUGUUGUGAGAUCGUAUGAUCCUUUGAGCAAGGAGAUUCAUCAGAAAUUUAGGAGUUUAAAUUUUGAGACAGUACCUGACGCUCGGCUCUCAGCAGUUCUAAUAGGGGUUUGGCCACUGGAGUAGGGGUAAAGUGUGGUACAGUUGGGCCUGUGUUUCCUGUGGCUGCUGAUCUAUCUGAUUUAACAGUUAUCACUACCUUUUCCAAAUACCUAGUUUGUACUCCUUGAGGAUCUGCACUCACCCUCUUCCUUUUGGACAUCUAUUAUGAAAGAACAACAUUUGACUAGAAAAACAUAGUGUGACGACACAUGGAAUAGGUAUAGUAAAUGGAUAGGUAUGGCAUAUACUCAUAUAUGAUGCUUAAACUAAGCAGAUGGUGUAACAAAGUAGAAGUAAUGCAAGAGGUCAGAUGUAAAAUAUGUGCGACCAAUACAACUUUGCAAAGUUAGAGCAAGCAUCUUGAUGGGUGAAUAAGAUAGGCCAUCCUCCACCAUGCCAAGUUUGUUAGCCAGUGGAUUGUUCCACCAUAUUCCUCUCGUGCGCCCAUUCUCAUAUUCAUUUUGAUAAUGUUCAAUAUCUGACAUGCAUGAAAAUAUAAAAAACAAGUGAGAUUUUCUUUGUAAUGCAGAAGUGAUUCUAAUCCAAUACUGCCUCCCUGUAAACCCCUUUGUGCUAUCUCUGCAAUUCUUUUAAGAGAUGCCAUGCAUGCUGUAAUUUGGUGUGUGCAUUAAUAUAAUGUGGCCUAGUACUCAAAAUAUGAGAGCUCUAGAAGUGAUGACACUUUGCAGAUGACAACUUCAACAUAUAGUAAAGAAGAACAAGUCGACCUGACCUGAUAGAUUCAAAAUAUACUAAGGGAGAACAACUCGACCUGACCAGUCGACCGCAAGAGAAGAGGAUCAUCUUAAAGAAGAGCAGAAGAGCAAUCAGAUUGAAGAUACUACAAGUCUUUCAAUACAAUGUCGGUUGGCCACCCAUGAUGAACUAGAGCGCACAGAGAAAUACAAUUCUUUCCGGUCUCUCCAUAUGUGGCUCACAUGCAUUUCGAAACUAAAGUAGGAACAUUUAGCUAACCAAUUAAACAUCUCUCAGUUUUACUAAUAUCAGCAAUAGUAUCAGAUAUGAACUUGUACAACUAAGCUUGUUUAGCUCGAUGGGUGGAGCAGUGCUAUUAUGACACGAACCACGUAGGCUGAUUGUGGUCAUCAUAAAAUGGGGAAACCAUAAGCAUGAUGAGUACAGUGUUCACCAUGGCAGUGGGAUGGCAGAUCUGAAGCUGCAAGCCGCACAGAGGGUAGUUAGCAACCGACAUUUGCUUUGAAAUAACAACUAAGAUUUGGUAUGGACAAGAAAUUACGGUCAACAAGUGACAAAGAAAUGCAAUUAUGUUGUCUCUCUAUAUGUCGCGACAUGCAUUUGGAAACUCAAGUGGGACCUUUAGCUAACCAAUUAAAUGUGUCGUUUAACUAAUAUCAGUAUCAUAUCACAAUCAUAUUUGAACAACUAAGCUUUCGGAUUCUGAGUGUUGUGUUGUUUAGCUUCAAGGGUGGAGUAAUGCUAGUACGACAAAAAGCACCUACGAAGAUCAUAGUAGAGUAAAUAAAAGGGGAGAACCCUAAGCAUCAAGAGAAAAAUCAGGAAAGUGGAACUAGCUGGACCAGUGGGUGGCGCACAUGCUUUUCGAAACGAAUAUAGGAACAUUAGGUGACCAAUUAAACGUUCUCUGUUUUAGUGAUAUGAGCACCACAUCAGAUUCGUAUUUCAACAUGUAAGCUUUGGGUUGAGGUCUUGAGGAGCAGUGCUAGCACGACACGAAGCACCUACGAUGAUGGUAAUGAAUAUAAAGGGGGGAAGCCAUAAGCUUUACGAGUAUAGUGCCCGUGCCAUGGCGGAUAUGAAGGUGCAAACCGGACAAAGCUACUUCACAACCAAUGUUUGCUUUCAACAAGCCACUACGAUUUGGUAUGGACAAGAAAAGUACAGUAAACAAAUUACAAUCUAUUUUCUGGGUGAGAUCAAUAACUUAAGCACAUAUGGAAGAGUACCACCUCUAUUGCGAUGCUGUGUAGGCCUAUAUUGAUACGUUGAGGGUGCUACGGGUGCGAUGGCUGUCGGCGGCGGGGAAGAAGACUUUAGACGGCGGACGGCCAGGUCGGGGGAUAAAUCCUGUUGCCGUGGACGAGGCGGUCGUAGGAGCGGCAACGACAAGGUGGACGACAGCGCCGAUGAAGCAAGAGGAGGCGAUGAAAGGAUCCUGGUCCAGCGCUGUGGAUGGGAGACGCCCAUCUCUUGCAAUGGACGGCGGGGUAGGGGUAGCAGCUCUGGCAAGGUGGACGAUGGGGUGGUAGACGGAGGAGGCUGGCUGCAGUGCGGAGGUUGUCGUGCCACCGAUGGUGUAUGCAUGGGGAAAUGGAGGGGAGGGGGGAUAUCAAACUUUGGGACACGCUUCUCUGAAAUGUGGGAAAGUUACGAACUUAUCCCCCGUUUAAAAUUUCGGACAUUGCGUCGGUUGGGGAUAUGACGGUAAUCUCGCAUCUCCCAAAUAUUUGCCGGUAACUAUUUCGGGCGAGGAGAGGGUGUUUUGCCGCCCACGUUUGGCACCCAUGGUGUAUGAACGGGGCUGACAGAUAGGGCGGUUGUGUCACGUCUGAGGGAAGUUACACAUCUGCCCCUAUUUAAAAUAUUAGCCUACAUCAAUCUCGGACGAAGAGAGUUUGUUUUGCCGCCCACCGUGUAUGAAUGGGGAAAUGGAGGAAGAGACACAUGUCUUUCGGACGAGCUUGAAUCAAAUGUGGUUUGGCGCCCACGUUUGGCGCCCAUCGUGUCUGAAUGGGCUCAGAGGCCGUUAUGUCACGUCUGAUUGAAGUUACUAGCCUACCCCUAUCUACAGCAGUGUAAAUCCAGUCGAUAAGGAUGUCAAGUGUCAGGGGUAGACAGUAAUUUCCAUCUCGCAAACAAUUGCUUCAAGCAGCCCACUAAUUAUAGUGGGUGUUUAGCUGCUUCAUUCAAAACUUGGGAGAAUUAGCAUUCACGUUUGCCCUGGGCCCUGGCAAACUAAAUUCAAAUCCAAUUUGUAUUCGAUUACAAAUAUCCACAGAUAAUUCUAUGUUUUAUUAUUUAUUUCUUCAAAACCACAACAAAGAUUUAUUCCACAUUUCUAUAUGAUUAUGAUUAAGAAAUGCCGUGAUCUUCGAAUUCAGUAGGUUGGAUAUACUCUGUGUUAAACAAUUAUUUCAUCCAAUACAAUAUGCUCACACAAAAAACAGUUCACCUUAUGUCAAUCAUAUAAGUACUGAGGAUUACCUCGCCUAAAAAAUUUGGAUCAUUACAACACAUGGACAACAUAGGGGGUCUUGCAACAUAAUCCAUUCAGAGACAUGACACAACAUGCAAGUACAAUAAUCUAAUGACAAUUUCAACUGGUAUCUAAAUAAGAACCGGGAUUACCCUAGGCUUCAGAUAGCAAAAACAGCAGGACCUCCUCCAUCUUCAAAUGCAACAUUCUUACUUCCUCCAAUUCUUGGGUUGCUUGCAUAAUGCGUGCCACUAAUUCUGUAAUUUCCAGCCUCAAGAUAAAGAUUACCUCAUUCAUGGCAGCCACACCAUCUCUUUCUGCCUCUAGUAGAGCCUCAAGCACUAUAAUAUCUGUGCUCAGACUGCUCUCCGGCGGUGUUGCCUCUGAACUGCUACCAUCUGGUAACAUGGAUGGCGCACUGCUUCCACAAAUAGAUUCUGGGGUUGUACAUUGUGUCCUAGUGUGAAUGGCGUCCUAAAAGGUUUCCACUGUACAUAAGUAAGAGAUAGUUAUCGUAUGAUCUAGGCAGUAAGCUUACAUGGUAAACGACAGGCGAAUUAUUACCAAUCAUGGCAAGCUAUAUUUAAAUGGUUCGAAGCAGCAUCAGCCGAAAAGAAAUUAAAAGGGUAAGAUGAAACUAGGGAUGUAAGUGGAAAAUAAACGACAUCCGCCAGUCCCAUCUAGUUAGUUUUUGCUAGCUCCCUAGUUCAUUUUCCUCAAAAAACAAAAACUCUUUUGAACUAUCAUAUCACUAGUGGACUUUAAUCGGGAUUAAACGGGACCUAGUUGACAUCCCUAAUUGAAAGGGAGUGUACCACUGAUACGUCUCCAACGUAUCUAUAAUUUUUGAUUGUUCCAUGCUAUUAUAUUACCCAUGUUGGAUGUUUAUGGGCUUUACUUUACACAUUUAUAUCAUUUUUGGGACUAACCCCGUAUUGCUGUUUUUUUGCCUAUUUCAGUGUUCGAAGAAAAGGAAUAUCAAACGGAGUCCAAACGGAAUGAAACCUUCGGGAGCGUGAUUUUUGGAACAAACGUGAUCCAGAGGACUUGGAGUGCAAGUCAUGAAGCAAUCAAGGCGGCCACGAGGGUGGAGGGCACCCCCCUACUGGGCGCGCCCCCUAUCUCAUAGGCCCCUCGGGCGUCCGCCGACUUACUUUUUCCUCCUAUAUAUACCCACAUACCUCAAGAACAUCAAAGGCAACCACAAAAUACUAUUUCCACCACCGUAACCUUCUGUAUCCGCGAGAUCCCAUCUUGGAGCCUUCGCCGACGCUCCACCGGAGGGGGAGUCAACCAUGGAGGGCUUCUACAUCAACACCAUAGCCUCUCCGAUGAGUUGUGAGUAGUUUAGCACAGACCUUCGGGUCCAUAGUUAUUAGCUAAAUGGCUUCUUCUCUAUUUUUGGAUCUCAAUACCAUGUUCUCUCGAUCUUCUUGGAGAUCUAUUCGAUGUAACUCUUUUUGUGGUGUGUUUAUCGAGAUCCGAUGAAUUGUGGGUUUAUGAUCAAGUUUAUCUAUGAGAAAUAUUUGAAUCUCCUCUGAAUUCUUUUAUGUGUGAUUAAGUUAUCUUUGCAAGUCUCUUCGAAUUAUCAGUUUGGUUUGGCCUACUAGAUUGAUCUUUCUUGCAAUGGGAGAAGUGCUUAGCUUUGGGUUCAAUCUUGCGGUGUCCUUUCCCAGUGACAGCAGGGGAAGCAAGGCAUGUAUUGUAUUGUUGCCAUCGAGGAUAAAAAGAUGGGGUUUAUAUCAUAUUGCAUGAGUUUAUCCCUCUACAUCAUGUCAUCUUUCUUAAUGUGUUACUCUGUUCUUUAUGAACUUAAUACUAUAGAUGCAUGCUGGAUAGCGGUCGAUGUGUGGAGUAAUAGUAGUACAUGCAGGGAGGAGUCGGUCUACUUGUCACGGAUGUGAUGCCUAUAUACAUGAUCAUGCCUAGAUAAUCUCAUAAUUAUUCGCUUUUCUAUCAAUUGCUCGACAGUAAUUUGUUCACCCACCGUAAUACUUAUGCUAUCUUGAGAGAAGCCACUAGUGAAACCUAUGGCCCCGGGGUCUAUCUCUUAUCAUAUAAGCUUUCAAUAUACUUUUACUUGUAUCUUUACUUUUCCAAUCUAUAUUAUAAAAUACCAAAAAUAUAUUUAUCUUAUCAUAUUAUCUCUAUCGAAUCUCACUUUUGCAAGUGGCCGUGAAGGGAUUGACAACCCCUUUAUUGCGUUGGUUGCGAGUUCUUGUUUGUUUGUGUAGGUGCGUGGGACUUUUGAGGAACCUCCUAUUGGAUUGAUACCUUGGUUGUCAAAAACUGAGGGAAAUACUUACGCUACUAUUGCUGCAUCACCCUUUCCUCUUCAAGGAAAACCAAAGCAAGCUCAAGACGUAGCAAGAAGGAUUUCUGGCGCCAUUGCUGGGGAGGUCUUCACUCAAGUCAAGACAUACCAAGUACCCAUCACAAACUCAUCUCCCUCGCAUUUACAUUAUUUGCCAUUUGCCUCUCGUUUUCCUCUCCCCCACUUCACCCUUGCCGUUUUAUUCGCCCUCUCUUUCCCAAUCUCUUCUCUCUUUUCUGUUUGCCUUCCCGUUGCCAUGGCUGAAUCAAAAAGAACUAAGGGUCCUUUCCAGGGUUCUAGUACCUUGGAUAGCCCUUCUAUCCUCUCUAAGCUCAUAAAUAAUGAUGCUAUGGAAAGACCCACCGAGGUCAUCAAUGAGAGCUUAAAUAAUUUUGAUGAAGAUGACUCCAAUUUUUUUUGCUGUUUGCUUGACGAGUCUUUAAAGAUGCUUGGGAUAGGUUAUUAAGGAUUUGGGCUAGCUAUGUGCCACAAUAUCAAAUUGAACUUUACCUAAAAAGUUUUUAUGUUAGCUUACCCGCUUAUUUCAAGCAAGUUCUAGAUUCUAUUUUUGAAGAAGGUUUUCUUAAGGGGGAUGCAAUAGGUACCUAUGAAAAAAUGAAAACCAUAUUUGGGCACCCUAUGAAUGAUAAGGUUGAAUCAACUACUCUCUUAUGCUUUUACCAAAACGAAAUUAUCAAAGAGAUGAAGGCUAGCUUAGAUGCAAAUUUCCAUAACAUGCUUAAUCUUACUUCAUCCAUUAAUGGCAAUGAGCUUACCCUAAAUAGAAGAAUGAAUGCCAUAGAGAGGAGAUCCUCUUUUUCAUUUCCGAGUGCCAAAGAUGGCACCACUUAGAUCUAUCCUCGCUUUUAUGCCUAGCUAGGGGCGUUAAACGAUAGCACUAGUUGGGAGGCAACCCAAUUUUAUUUGUGUUUUUUGUUUUUGUUUAGUAAUAAAUUUUGCAUCUACCAUCUGUUUAGAUGUGUUUUUAUGUUUUAGUUAGUGUUUGUGCCAAGUAGAACCUAUAGGAUAACCUAAGGUGAUAGUUAAUUUGAUUCUGUUGAAAAACAGAAACUUUGCGCGCACAAAAAUAAUUUUGUUAAUUCAUAGAAACGUGCUUUUGUGUUGAUUCUUUUUUCUGUAGAUCAAUAGACAGAUUUCCCGGGACUUCCUAUUUUGGUAGGACUUUUAGAGUUCCAGAAGUAUUCGAGAGUUACAAAUUGCUACAGACUGUUCUGUUUUUGAAAGAUUCUGCCUUUCGUGUGUUGUUUGCUUAUUUUGAUGCAUCUAUGGCUAGUAUGUAAGGGUAUGAACCAUAGAGAACUUGAAAUACAGUAGGUUUAACACUAGUAUAAAUAAAGAAUGAGUUCAUUACAGUACCUUAUGUGGUGGUUUUUCUUUCUUUCACUAACGGAGCUUAUGAGAUUUCCUGUUGAGUUUUGUGUUGUGAAGUUUUCAAGUUUUGGGUAAAGAUUUGAUGGACUAUGGAAUAAGGAGUAGCAAGAGCCUAAGCUUGGGGAUGCCCAUGGCACCCCAAGAUACUCAAUAAUAUCCAAAAGCCUAAGCUUGGGGAUGCCCCCGGAAGGCAUCCCCUCUUUCGUCUUCGUUUAUCGGUAACUUUACUUGGAGCUAUAUUUUUAUUCGCCACAUGAUAUGUGUUUUGCUUGGAGCGUCUUGUAUGAUAUUAGUAUUUGCCUUUUAGUUUUCCACAAUCAUCCUUGCUGUACACACCUUUUGGGAGAAGACCACUUGAUUGGAAUUUGUUAGAAUACUCUAUGUGCUUCACUUAUAUCUUUUGAGCUAGAUAGUUUUUGCUCUAGUGCUUCACUUAUAUCCCUUAGAGCACGGUGGUGGCUUAAUUUUGUAGAAAUUGUUAGUCUCUCAUGAUUCAGUUAUAUUAUUUUGAGAGUCUCUUAGAACAGCAUGGUAUUUGCUAUGGUUAUAAAAUUGGUCCUAGAAUCGUGGGCAUCCAAGUUGGGUAUAAUAAAAACUAUCAUAGGAAGUGAAUUGGAUGUUAUGAUCAAUUUGAUACUUGAUAAUUGUUUUGAGAUAUGGAGGUAGUGAUAUUAGAGUCAUGCUAGUUUGGGUGAUUAUGAAUUUAAAGAAUGCUCGUGUUGAAGUUAUCAAGUCCCGUAGCAUGCAUGUAUGGUUAAAGUUGUGUAACAAAUUUGAAACAUGAGGUGUUCUUAGAUUGUGCAUCCUUAUGAGUGGCGAUCGGGGACGAGCGAUGGUCUUUUCCUGCCAAUCUAUCCCCCUAGGAGCAUGCGCGUAGUGCUUGGUUUGUGAUGACUUGUAGAUUUUCGCAAUAAGUAUAUGAGUUCUUUUGACUAAUGUUGAGUCCAUGGAUUAUACUCACUCUCACCCUUCCAUCAUUGCUAGCCUCUUCGGUACCAUGCAUUGCCCUUUCUCACCUUGAGAGUUGGUGCAAACUUUGCUAGUGCACCCUGUGAUAUGAUAUGCUCUAUCACACAUAAACCUCCUUAUAUCUUCCUCAAAACAGCCACCAUACCUACCUAUUAUGGCAUUUCCAUAGCCAUUCCGAGAUAUAUUGCCAUGCAACUUUCCACCGUUCCGUUCUAUUUUUAUGACACAUAUUAUCAUUGUCAUAUUGCCUUGCAUGAUCACGUAGUCGACAUCGUAUUUUUGGCAAAGCCACCAUGCAUAAAUUUUCAUACAUGUCACGCUUGAUUCAUUGCCCAUCCCAGUACACCGCCGGAGGCAUUCAUAUAGAGUCAUAUCUUAUUCUAGUUUUGGGUUGUAAUUCAUGAGUUGUAAAUCAAUAAAAGUGUGAUGAUCAUCAUUAUUAGAGCAUUGUCCCCAAAGAAAAAAAAGAAAGGCCAAAGAAAAAAAAGGAAAAAAAGAAAGGCCCAAAGAAAAAAAGGAAAAAAAAGAAAAAAGAAAAAAGGGGCAAUGUUACUAUCUUUUUUCCACACUUGUGCUUCAAAGUAGCACCAUGUUCUUCAUAUAGCGAGUCUCAUAUGUUGUCACUUUCAUAUACUAGUGGGAAUUUUUCAUUAUAGAACUUGGCUUGUAUAUUCCUACGAUGGGCUUCCUCAAAAUUCCCUAGGUCUUCGUGAGAAAGCAAGUUGGAUGCACACCCACUAGUUUCUUUUGUUGAGCUUUCAUACAUUUAUAGCUCUAGCGCAUCCGUUGCAUGGCAAUCCCUACUCCUCAUGUUGACAUCAAUUAAUGGGCAUCUCCAUAGCCCGUUGAUUAUCCUCGUCAAUGUGAGACUUUCUCCUUUUUUGUCUUCUCCACACAAUCCCCAUCAUCAUAUUCUAUUCCACCCAUAGUGCUAUAUCCAUGGCUCACACUCAUGUAUUGGGUGAAAGUUGAAAAAGUUUGAGAUUAUUGAAGUACGAAACAAUUGUUUGGCUUGUCAUCGGGGGUGUAUAAGAUGGGAGCAUUUUCGUGUGACAAAAAUGAAGCAUAGCCUAACUAUAUGAUUUUGUAGGGAUGAACUUUCUUUAGCCAUGUUAUUUUGAGAAGACAUGAUUGCUUCAAUUAGUAUGCCUGAAGUAUUACUAUUUCUUAUGUCAAUAUGGACUUUUAUUUUGAAUCAUUUGGAUCUGAACAUUCAUGCCACAAUAAAGAAUAUUACAUUGAGAAUUAUGGUAGGUAGCAUUCCACAUCAAAAUGUCACACCCUAGCUAGUCAUGCAUCAGAGUGUGUGCAUCAUGUUUAAAAUUCCAUUUAAUUUGAAAUGGGGAUUUGUGAAACCCUCAGAAUCAUUUUUGAAAAUGAUCCAAAUAAAAAUUUCUCCAAAAGGGUCCAAGAAAAUGCUCAUGUUGCUCUCUGAAAAUAUUGGACAGAGAUAAAAAUCAAACCAAUAUUUUUAAGAGCUCAUAGGUAUUUAUUUUGGGCAUUUGGAAUUAAUGCAUAAAUAUUUGCACUGGAAAUAUAUUAGUUAUAUAUAUUAAUAUAUGUCCAAAUAUUAUGCCAUUUAUAAAGGAGCUCUAGAAUAAUAUAUCUAGCUCCUGCAAAAAUUGGCAUAAGGUAAAUAAAUGAUUUAAUAUAUUAUUUAAAUCAAAACAAAUGUCAGAAAAUUAAAAAACAGAAAUAAAUAAAAGGGAGAACCUUACCUGGGCUCCUCCCUGUGCAGCCCAGCCAGCUGGCCGGCCCAGCCAGCAGGUGGCCCAGCCCGCCUCCCUCCUCUGUCGUCUUCGUCCUCGACAGAGGGAGGGGAGUGUGGCCGGCGCGCGCGCGCGCCACCGCGCCACGCCACCUGCUCGCCUGCCUGCCUGCCCUCCCCUCCUCGUCUCGAUGCCCCGGACGACGCCAUGCCUUCCCCCCUGCUCUCUCUCACUCUCCCUCGGUUCCUCCCUCCUCUCCCUCGCUCCCUCUCUCACGGCCGAACACCACCAUCGCCGCUGUUCGCCAUAGCAGCCGUCACCGGCCACCCCUCGCCCCUCCGCUGAGCUCAGGAGCUCCGCCUCGACCCCCUCUUCCUCCCCACCGAUCCACGGGUCUCCGGAAGCCCUGCAUCGCCGCCCACGUCGCCGUUCCCCUCCUCGGCCACCGGAGAUCGUCGCCGUUGAAUCGGGAGCUACCGGACGUCCCCGAGCCUGCUAACCAUCCCUGCAGCUCCGCGGUGAGCCACUGACCCGAUUCCCCCUUGCCCCGUCGUCCCUAGCAUCCUGUAGCUGCCGCCCCCUUGAGCUCCGAAGCUCGCCGCCGCCGUGCCUCGUCGCUGCCGUGGCUGGAGCCGUUGUAGCUCGAAGCCGAGCACACCAUCGUGCUCCACACCUCACCAGGAGCACGUAGCACGCACCAACGCCUCCCCUAACGCCCUGCAUCGCCUAACCCGCCGUUGGCCGAACUCCGGCCGCCGCUCACGAGCUCGCCGUCGUCGGUACCGGCCACCUCAGGCACGGCCACCACCACCGUUCGACGCGCGGGAGCAAGGGCUCUCCAACGAGCCCAAGCACGACCUCGCCCGUGCCCUGUAGCGUGUUUCCGCAUUGCGCCGCCGUCUCGGGCCUCGCCGGCGUCAUGUCGCCGGUGGGUUUGACCCACCUUGACCACGGCAGGACCCCCCUGUGUCCCUGACAGGUGGGCCCAGCCCUGUUAGCUAAUUAGGAUUAGCACUAACCGAAUUAGUUAAACUAACUACCCCCCCUGACACUGACCAGUGGGCCCCAGCGCCACUAAUUCCUAAUUAGGAUUAAAUUAACCCUGUUAAACCCCCCCUGUCACUGACGUGUGGACCCCACACGUCAGGUUUGACCCCAGCCAGCCGCAGUUGACCGCUGACGUCAUGCUGACGUCAUGCUGGCGCAAUAUUUAUAUUUCUGGAUUUAAUUUAAAUCAGGAAAUUCCAGAAUAUUAUUUAAACUUCAAAAAUUCAUUACUUUUAUUCUGGAACUCCAAAUCAGACAAAUUAUAUAUGAAAAAUGAUCAGAAAAAUCCAAUAUAUCCAUCUGUACUAUUUUCAUGCAUGAUCAAACAAGUUAAAUUGAUGUUUUAAGCAGAACAAGGAAAAGCACUUUAAAAGGCCAUGUUUGAGUUUGAAAUUUGAAUCUUUGAUUCAAAUUGGUUCAAACCCUUCUGGUUUUAGUUGCAUUAGCCCAACACACUCAUAUUGCCAUGUUUCAUGCAUGCAUCAUAUUGUUGCACAUUGUUUGGUGAUGGUUGUGUAUCGGUGUCCUUUGCGACAGGUUCUGCCUCCGAGGAGUACCGUGAUUACCCUAACGAAGAACCGUAUCAGUGCAUCGAACCAUCAGGCAAGCAACCAACCAUUUGAUCAUAUCGAUACAAUCCCAUGUUCUCGCUCCUGCUCUCUUUUACUGCAUUAAGACAACGCGUUUCAAACUGCUGUGUGCUACGGUAGUUGAACCCAUUUCCUCUGCAUGACCUGUCAUUGCCACAGUAACUAGAUGAAACCCACUAGCAUGUGUAGGAGUUGAUUGAGCCAUAUGUAUGUGUUGUUCCUACCUUGCUAUGCCUGCUAUGCUUAGAGUCGUGUCAGGUCUGGUUCAUCUGGGUGAUGGCUAGAGUGAAAUGAUUAUGUCGGUAAUGAGAGUGGUGUGGUGAACACGAUUUGGUAAGGGUAUCGAUGAGAGGCCAUGUAGGAGUACAUGGUGGGUUGUUUCAUUGAAGCCGACCUUAAGCACUGAGAUCUGUAUGCGUGAUUUAAGAUACAGCUACUACCAUGCAUUGGGCCCUGAAAUAUGACCCCACUCGACUUCUUAUUCACCCUAGCUCUCUGUCCAGGAGUUGCAAGUAGUUUCUGGUGUUUGUAGCCUACUGGAGGCCGUGGACAGCGCUGACCGUAGGGGUGGGCUGUGAUGCGGUAGGUACGUGGCACAGUGUACCGAAUACCCGUUAGGUAUCUCGGGAACCCUGUUCACAUCGUUCGGGGCCGUAUGGGAAACCUCGGCCGGACUCCCUGCGGAUGGAACCUGAAUAGGCGAUAAACCUGGACUAGAGGCUUAAGUGUUUAGGUAGGUCGUGGUCUACACCCACGUCGGCUUUCGCUUGAAGUCUGCCGAGCACAUGUCGUGUGCAGACGCUAAGUGGUGGAAACAUGUAUGAAGAAGUACACCCCUGCAGGGUUAACAUGAUCUAUUCGAAUAGCCGCGUCCGCGGUAAAGGACUACUUGGUUGCCUAUACAGUUCAUAGACAAGUAAAUGGAAACUACUAAAAGCCUCAAGAUAAGUGUGAGUGCCGAGGAUGGCUCUUCCGUAGGAAGACGGAGGCAGAUCCUCGGUAGUGUAUUGAAUUGGUGAGUAGUGGACUCGUGUGCGAAAAACCAUUUCAAGUUGAAGUAUCGUAGGAUAGUCUAGCCAAGAGACAAAGCUGGCUUGCUGCAAUAACUCCACCAACCCCUCUUGAUAAUAUGCAUGUAUGUAGGAUCUGAUGUAAGUCUUGCUGAGUACCUUUGUACUCAUAUUGCUAUAAUUUACAUUUUUUUCAGAAGACGCUGCAACCCCUUCUGAUGGGAUCUAUGUAGACGUUGACAUCAACGAGUAGGCUAAAGGCCUAGGUGGUGACCCUGAGCUUGUGAAGGACCAUGUAGUAUAGCUAGGCUUUCCAAGCCUCUUUUAUUUUACUAGUUGUCUGUACUCAGACAAGUUACUUCCGCUGCUGGUUUGUAUGACUGUAUGACUUGAAUGUUGGGUCGUGAGACCCGUACCUUUGUGUAUGUUAUGUAUGGCUCCCUGAGCCUUAAAUAAAGUACUUGUGUCAUAGAGUCAUGUUGUGAUGCUUCGUUGUAUUUGCACAUAUCGAGCAUAUUGUGUGUAUGAUUGAAAUGCUUGGUAUGUGUGGGAUCUGACUAUCUAGUUGUUUAUCUUUAGUAGCCUCUCUUACCGGGAAAUGUCUCCUAGUGUUACCGCUGAGCCAUGGUAGCUUGCUACUGCUCUGGAGCACUUAGGCUGGCCGGCAUGUGUCCUUCUUCGUUCCUGUGUCUGUCCCUUCGGGGAAAUGUCACGCUUUGAGUACCGGAGUCCUGUUAGCCCGCUACAGCCCGGCUUACCGGAGUCCUGCUAGCCCAGUGCUACAGCCCGGACCCACUUGCUGAUGACCGACACGUUCGAAGCUGGGUCAUGGAUGCCUGUCCCUGUAAGUCUGUGCCACUUUGGGUUUACGACUAGUCAUGUCAGCCCGGGCUCCUUAUCAUAUGGAUGCUAGCGACACUAUCAUAUACGUGAGCCAAAAGGCGCAAACGGUCCCGGGCAAAGGUAAGGCGACACCCGUGGGGAUACCGUGCGUGAGGCCGCAAAGUGAUAUGAGGUGUUACCGGCUAGAUCGAUGUGACAUCGAGUCGGGGUCCUGACACAAAAAUUCUGUUUUUAUCAUUUACCUACUCGAGGACGAGCAAUAAUUAAGCUUGGGGAUGCUUGAUACAUCUCCAAUGUAUCUAUAAUUUUUGAUUGUUCCAUGAUAUUAUAUUACCCCUUUUGGAUGUUUAGGGGCUUUACUUUACACAUUUAUAUCAUUUUUGGGACUAACCUACUAACCGGAUGCCCAACCCAUUUUGCUGUUUUUUUGCCUAUUUCAGUGUUUCGAAGAAAAGGAAUAUCAAACGGAGUCCAAACGGAAUGAAACCUUCGGGAGCGUGAUUUUUGGAACAAAUGUGAUCCAGAGGACUUGGAGUGCAAGUCAUGAAGCAAUUGAGGCGGCCACGAGGGUGGAGGUACUAGGUGCGCCCCCUAUCUCUUAGGCCCCUGGGGUGUCCACCAACCUACCUUUUCCUCCUAUAUAUACCCACGUACCUUGAGAACAUCAGAGGCAACCACAAAAAACUAAUUCCACCACCGUAACCUUCUGUAUCCGCGAGAUCCCAUCUUGGAGCCUUCGUCGGCGCUCCGUCGGAGGGGGAAUCAACCAUGGAGGGCUUCUACAUCAACACCAUAGCCUCUCCGAUGAGUUGUGAGUAGUUUACCAUAGACCUUCGGGUCCAUAGUUAUUAGCUAGAUGGCUUCUUCUCUAUUUUUGGAUCUCAAUACCAUGUUCUCUCGAUCUUCUUGGAGAUAGGGCUGGAAUUCGAGCCGAGUCGAGCCAUCUCGCCUCGACUCGCUAGAGCUCGUUUCAUUAACGAGCAAGCUCGACUCGACUCGUUACUAUAACGAGCUCCAACCCAAGAUUGGCUUGACUCGUAUAACUCGCGAGCUGGCUCGUUUAGCUUGUUAAGCUCGUUUAAGAUAUAAACAUAAAGCCCUCAAAUAUGAUAAAAAUGAUUAUGUAUAUAGGAGUAUUAAACUUAUAUAUCACUAAACAAUUGUAAUUUUCUUGUAAUGCGUGAAUCUCCUAGGAGGCUAGGCCUUCAACUGCUCAGCCUUGGAUUGUGCGCCUGGGACGUAGGCUGUUUAGUGGCUGAUCUUUCUUUGUAUUAGGAGUGGCUGAUCUACUGUAUCGAGCUUAAUGAGUUACACGAGUAUUCGUGAGAUUGGCUCGUUUAACUUGGUCCAUAAACGAUCUUAAACUAAAGCUCGGCUCGACUCGUUAUUCUUCGAGUUCGAGUCGAUUCGAGCCGAGUCACGAGCUACUUGUUUAGCUCGCGAGCUUCGAGCUUUUUUUUCCAGCCCUACUUGGAGAUCUAUUCGAUGUAACUUUUUUUGCAGUGUGUUUGUCGAGAUCCGAUGAAUUGUGGGUUUAUGAUAAAAUUUAUCUAUGAGAAAUAUUUGAAUCUCCUCUGAAUUCUUUUAUGUGUGAUUAAGUUAUCUUUGCAAGUCUCUUCGAAUUAUCAGUUUGGUUUAGCCUACUAGAUUGAUCUUUCUUGCAAUGGGAGAAGUGCUUAGCUUUGGGUUCAAUCUUGCAGUGUCCUUUCCCAGUGACAUCAGGGGCAGCAAGGCACGUAUUGUAUUGUUGCCAUUGAGGAUAAAAAUAUGGGGUUUAUAUCAUAUUGCAUGAGUUUAUCCCUCUACACCAUGUCAUCUUUCUUAAUGCGUUACUCUAUUCUUUAUGAACUUAAUACUCUAGAUGCAUGCUGGAUAGCGGUCGAUUGUGGAGUAAUAGUAGUAGAUGCAGGCAGGAGUUGGUCUACUUGUCACGGACGUGAUGCCUAUAUACAUGAUCAUGCCUAGAUAAUCUCAUAAUUAUUCGCUUUUCUAUCAAUUGCUCGACAGUAAUUUGUUCACCCACCGUAAUACUUAUGCUAUCUUGAGAGAAGCCACUAGUGAAACCUAUGGCCCCCGGGUCUAUCUCUUAUCAUAUAAGCUUUCAAUCUAUCUUUAUUUGCAUCUUUACUUUUCCAAUCUAUAUUAUAAAAUACCAAAAAAUAUAUUUAUCUUAUCAUAUUAUCUCUAUCAGAUCUCACUUUCGCAAGUGGCCGUGAAGGGAUUGACAACCCCUUUAUUGCGUUGGUUGCGAGUUCUUGUUUGUUUGUGUAGGUGCGUGGGACUUUUGAGGAGCCUCCUAUUGGAUUGAUACCUUGGUUCUCAAAAACUGAGGGAAAUACUUAUGCUACUAUUGCUGCAUCACCCUUUCCUCUUCAAGGAAAACCAACGCAAGCUCAAGACGUAGGAACCACCGCUAUAUUUAAGUUGCCAAGGCAUCUAAACAGUUGAAAUAAUCUGAGAAAGCACUUAACAGUGUGGCCUCAUAUAAACUAUGAAGACAUUCUUAUGAUGAAGUUGAGAGGAAAAGUUAAGGACUCAAAUGAAAUAGGCAUGCAUUUUUUUACGAUAGUACAACAGGCACUGCUGACAUAUUGGCCAACUUAGGUAUAGCGUAACAACAAACAAGCAUUUGAAUCAAGCAAUACAACAAAGCAGACAACUGAACUAUUUGUAAUUCAGUAGGAUUACAGGUUGAGGGCACAAGCCAAGAAAGCAGCCCACUCGCAUUACAUUUCACAUGUACUAAAACACACUGGGUUACCAUAUGUUGCUGUGAAGCCUCGCCGAUGUUGCAAUGUUCUUUGAAGAUAUCGUCAGCAUCCCGUGGUUGCAAAUCUAGUUGUUGUAGUUUAUUCUGCACCCUCUAUUUAGGUAAAAUCUAUUUUAAUCGCAUGCACUGGUCCGAAUAGAUCAUCAAUGGUUCAUCUAAACUAAUGAAAGAAGAGUGUGUGCAUACACGACAAUAUAUCUGCUUCCCUCUAUUUUUAUGAUUGUUCGAGGUGCCAGCCCCAAAAGAACAAAUGUUUUGCUUGAUGGGGUUGGCAGCUCCAUAAUUAAUAGAAGCAUCAAAUUAGUCAUGCAACUUGGGAAGAUCAAGAACACACAAAAAAGUAAUGAACAGAGGCUCGGAGAAGUGAUGUAAUAGCUAGCGUCAUAAAAUGUAGGGUAAAACAAACAAAAAGCAGCGGAACCACAUGCUAGUUUGCUGAUGUGUAAUUAAGCAUAUAGAACAUUAAGCAGUCUGAUGGAACCAACAGGUGGCAUCAGAACAACACCAUUAUCAUAAAUAUAGCAUUCAAGAAGUAAAAUAGUAGGCAGUGAUAUCUAGGAAGUACAGUAAUACUCCCUCCGUUCCAAAAUACUACCUCCGUCAUGGUUUAUAGGUCCCCUUUGUAGUUUGUGCCAAAUUUUGACUAAAGAUUUAACUAACAAAAUGUUAAUGCAUGUCAAGAAAAAUUAUCUCAUUGGAUUCGUAUUUGAACAUAGUUUUUAAAAAUAUAAUGUUUGGUGACAUGCGUGAACAUUUUGUUAGUUUAAUCUAUGGUCAAAAUUUGGCAUGAAAUACAAUGGGGACCAAUAAAACCAGACGGAGGUAGUAGGUGACUCAACUUUGUACUAACUUCAGUACAAAGUUGGGUAAUUUAUUUUGGAACGGAGGGAGUACUUAGGACAAAACUAAAGCAUAUUAACUAUAUGUGCACUGGUAUGUAAUUUAGCACAUGUAACAUGUUCACUGCCAGAAGUAUGGCCCUACAAGUGCAAGCAGAAUAACGCGUCUCAUGAAAAACGGAACGAUGCCCUGAAGAAAUUUAAAGGUGCGGUGCUUAUGCUAGGAAAGUGAAUGUAGGCGCCGGCCGUUGGAUAAUAGUACCUGAUUCUCGGCGGCGUAUGGGUAUCGUUGUCAUACUUGAUAGCUAAGGAUCGUUGAUGGUGCUCAUGUUGCGGUUGAGUUUGGGCCGGCUGUCGUCGUUGCUGAAGCGGCUCCGGUGCUACGGUUGCGGCGCCUGUCGACAUACAAGAAAGCUCAUCUGUGGAAAGUGAACAGUUCCACGAUAAAGAGAAAAACUGAAGGAGUACAAAUCGAAAUAACCUGAUGAGGCUGUGGCAUCGGUAAAGCAGGACCGGUGGAGUUGAAUAUGGCAUCCGUGGAGCGGGUCCGGUGCAGUGGACGAAGGCUUCGGCGGGCGCGUUGUACAGUGCUUUCGGUGAGGCGGAUCUGUUGCAGCGGACGAGGGCUUGUAUGAAGGGCCAGCGAAGGGGCGGACGAGGGAGUUAGUGAAGGGCCUACACUAUGGUGGAAGAGGGCGCCGGUUAAGCAGAUUCGGUGCGGUGGACCAUGAUGGCGGUCAAGGAUAUCUAGAGUGGUGGACAAGCCAGUCACUGAAGCGGCUCCGGUGAAGUGGUGAGUUGGCAGUUGGGGGUUCCAAGGUGCGGAAGGUAGAUCCAGCGGGAUGUGAGGUCCAUCGCUGUAGCGGAGGAUUAGAUUCGGCGGCUUGCCGUGGUUGGGGGGGUCGGGGAGGGGAAGGGGCUCUGUGGAAGAAUGUUGGGGGCAAAGAGGGGAAAACAAUGGAGUUACCAAAGCAGCCCUUUUUCGUUCAUGUGGCAGGGGUAAAACAGGAAUAUCGCAUGGCUAAACUUUCGGGCGUGUGAUAUUUCGAUGUGAGCAGGAAGUUUGAAAGCUUUUGGCGCCUAAAAUUAUAAGUGUUCUGCUCUAAUAUCAUGGCCGACAAUUUGUUUGCUUUGCACGCAAAAAAGUGCAAGUUUUGAAAAUCAGUGUCUCCAACUCGAAAAUUAGAUUGUCCAUUCAAUUCAAAUAUGGAUCAUUGAGCUACUACAAGCAAAUACCAUCAUACAGUCCAAUUCAAAUGAAAUUCCAAAUGUCUUUAUCCUAAAUAUGAUGACAAAAGCAAAAAUGUGUAUGUGUAUGAAUAAAGUGGAUGAUUAUAAAGUUUGAACAUGCCGUAUGUGUAUAUCUCUAGGUUUGAUAUAUGAAUUUGAAAUCAUGAAAUCCCAGCUUAAAAAAUGUACCUCCGUUUAAAUGAAUUACAAAAGCUAAUGAUUGAGUCGAAUUCCAAAAUUCCAAUCUUAGGUUUGUAAUUCUGGUACAUCAAGGUAUAUCACGCAUGUUCAAAAGUAUCGUUAUCUCACAGUCCAAACUGUGAAACAAAUUGAUCAACCAUGAGUGCACAAUAUCUCAAUUACGCUAAAGUCCCUCAAAUAUAGACACCUCACUCUUUAUCUGAAGCCACCCCCCUCGCCCCCCCCACAAACAUAGAGAAGUUGUUCUCUCCCCCAAACACCAACACACGAGCACAUUAACACCCCUCUCUCUUCUAAAGUCCGGACCCCAAUAUAGGUCUCUAUCACUUUGUCUCUCGGCAUGCACACAUCUCUUCCCUCACUCUCUAGGUCUCCCGCUAUCUCUCUUUCCCAACCACACGCACUAUGUAGAGUCUAUAUUUCCCAUACGCACAAAAUGUCGCCCCCAGACGUCUAUCUCCCUAGUUAUGUGGUUCUUGCGCACUCACCUCACACACCACCCUGAUACGUCUCCAAUGUAUCUAUAAUUUUUGAUUGCUCCAUGCUACUUUACCUACUGUUUUGGACUAUAUUGGGCUUUAUUUUCCACUUUUAUAUUACUUUUGGGACUAACCUAUUAACCGGAGGCCCAACCCAGAAUUGCUGUUUUUUACCUUUUUCAGUAUUUCGAAGAAACAGAAUAUCAAAUGGAGUCCAAACGGAAUGAAACCUUCGGGAUCGUGAUUUUCCAACCGAACAUGACCCAGGAGACUUGGACCCUACUCCAAGCAGUGCCAGAGGGCGCGCCCCCUACCUCGUGGGCCCCUCGACGCUCCACCGACGUACUCCUUCCUCCUAUAUAUACCAAUGUAUCUCCGAACGAUCAGAACAGGAGCCAAAAACCUAAUUCCACCGUCACAACCUUUUGUAUCCACGAGAUCCCAUCUUGGGGCCUGUUCUGGAGCUCCGCCGGAGGGGGCAUCCACCACGGAGGGCUUCUACAGCAUCACCAUAGCCCCUCCGAUGAAGUGUGAGUAGUUUACUUCAGACCUUCGGGUCCAUAGCUAGUAGCUAGAUGGCUUCUUCUCUCUUUUUGGAUCUCAAUACAAUGUUCUCCCCCUCUCUCGUGGAGAUCUAUUCGAUGUAAUCUUCUUUUUGCGGUGUGUUUGUUGAGACCGAUGAAUUGUGGGUUUAUGAUCCAGUAUUAUCUAUGGAAAAUAUUUGAUUCUUCUCUGAAUUCUUUUAUGUAUGAUUGAGUUAUCUUUGCAAGUCUCUUCGAAUUAUCCUUUUGGUUUGGCCAACUAGAUUGGUAGUUCUUGCAAUGGGAGAAGUGCUUAGCUUUGGGUUCAAUCUUGUGGUGUCCUUACCAAGUGACAGAAAGGGUUGCAAGGCAUGUAUUGUAUUGUUGCCAUCGAGGAUAACAAGAUGUUGUUUUUAUCAUAUUGCAUGAAUUUAUCCCUCUACAUCAUGUCAUCUUGCUUAAGGCGUUACUCUGUUUUUACUUAAUACUCUAGAUGCAUGCUUGAUAGCGGUCAAUGAGUGGAGUAAUAGUAGUAGAUGCAGAAUCGUUUCGAUCUACUUGUUUUGGACGUGAUGCCUAUAUACAUGAUCAUUGCCUAGAUAUACUCAUAACUAUGCUCAGUUCUGUCAAUUGCUCAACAGUAAUUUGUUCACCCACCGUAGAAUACUUAUGCUCUUGAGAGAAGUCACUAGUGAAACCUAUGGCCCCCGGGUCUAUUCUCAUCAUAUCAAUCUCUAUCACUUUAUUUACUUGCUUUGUUUUUACUUUGCCUUUUACUUUUUACUUUGCAUCUAUCUAUCAAAAAUACCAAAAAUAUUAUCUCUAUCAGAUCUCACUCUCGUAAGUGACCGUGAAGGGAUUGACAACCCCUAAGCGUUGGUUGUGAGUUGCUAUUGUUUUGUGUAGGUAUGAGGGACUUGUGCGUGGUCUCCUACUGGAUUGAUACCUUGGUUCUCAAAAACCGAGGGAAAUACUUACGCUACUUUGCUGCAUCAUCGUCUCCUCUUCGAGGAAAUCCAACGCAAUGCUCAAGAGGUAGCAAGAAGAAUUUCUGGCGCCAUUGCCGGGGAGGCUCACGCAAGCAAGUCAACAAUACCAAGUACCCAUCGCAAUCCCUAUCUCACGCAUUACAUUAUUUGCCAUUUGCCUCUUGUUUUCCUCUCCCCCACUUCACCCUUGCCAUUUUAUUCGCCCUCUCUUUCCCAAUCUCCUACUCUCUUUUCCGUUUGCCUUUUUCCCGUUUGCCUUUUUCCCGUUGCCUUUCUGUUUGCUUGUGUGUUGGAUUACUUGUUGCCAUGGCACAAGAUAAUACCAAAUUGUGUGAUUUCUCGAAUACCAAUAAUAAUGAUUUCCUUAAUACUCCGAUUGCUCCUCUUAAUAAUGGUGAGUUUUGUGAAAUCAACACUGCUUUGCUGAAUCUUGUUAUGAAAGAUCAUUUGCCGGCCUUCCUAGUGAAGAUGCCGCUACUCAUCUAAACAAUUUUGUUGAUUUGUGUGAUAUGCAAAAGAAGAAAGAUAUAGAUAACAAUAUUGUUAAAUUGAAGUUAUUUUCGUUUUCGCUUAGAGAUGGUGCUAAAGUUUGGUUUUCAUCUUUGCCUAAAAAUAGUAUUGAUUCUUGGAACAAGUGCAAAGAUGCUUUUAUCUCUAAGUAUUUUCCUCCCGCUAAGAUUAUCACUCUUAGGAACGACAUCAUGAAUUUUAAACAACUUGAUCAUGAGCAUGUUUCCCAAUCUUGGGAAAGAAUUAAAUUAAUGCUUCGCAAUUGCCCUACUUAUGGUUUGAAUUUAUGGAUGAUCAUACAAAAUUUUUAUGCUGGAUUGAAUUUUGCUUCUAGAAAUCUUUUAGAUUCGGCCGCGGGAGGCACUUUUAUGGAAAUUACGUUAGGGGAUGCUAUCAAAUUACUUGAUAAUAUUAUGUCUAAUUAUUCUCAAUGGCACACCGAAAGAUCUUCUAGUAAAAAAGUGCAUGCUAUAGAAGAAAUCAAUGUUUUGAGUGAAAAGAUGGAUGAACUUGUGAAGAUGUUUUCUCCUAAAAAUACUCCUCUUGUUCCCAAUGAUAUGCCUUUAUCUACUUUGCUUGAGAAUAACAAUGAAUCUAUGGAUGUGAAUUUUGUUGGUAGGAAUAGUUUUGGAAACAACGCUUAUAGAGGGAAUUUUAAUCCUAGGCCUUAUCCUAGUAAUCCUUCUAAUAAUUAUGGAAAUUCCUACAACAACUCUUAUGGAAAUUUUAAUAAGAUGCCCUUUGAAUUUGAGAGUAGUGUUAAGGAGUUUAUGAAUUCACAAAAGAAUUUUAAUACCUUGCUUGAAGAGAAAUUGCUUAAAGUUGAUGAUUUGGCUAGGAACGUUGAUAGAAUUUCUCUUGAAAUUGAUUCUUUAAAGCUUAGAUCUAUUCCUCCUAAGCAUGAUAUCAAUUAGUCUCUCAAAGCCAUGAGAAUUUCCAUUGAUGAGUGCAAAGAAAGAACCGCUAGGAUGCGUGCUUCCAAAGAUGCCUUUAUUAAAGCGUGUUCUUCCAAUUCUUAUGAAAAUCAAGAUGAAGAUCUAAAAGUUAUUGAUGUGUCCCCCAUUAAAUCUUUGUUUUGCAAUAUUAAGCUUGAUGAAACUGAAUAUGAUCUUCCUUUACCUAGAAGGCGUUCUAACAAUUCGGAGUUUCUAGAUCUUGAUGAUGAAAUUGAUGAAAGUGGGAUUGAAAUAAAUAAAAACCAUGAUGUUGCUAAACCCACUAUUUUGGAUCUCAAGGAAUUUAAUUAUGAAAAUUGCUCUUUGAUUGGUUGUAUUUCCUUGUUGCAAUCCGUGCUAGAUUCUCCUCAUGCAUAUAGUCAAAAUAAGGCCUUUACCGAACACAUUGUUGAUGCCUUGAUGCAAUCUUAUGAAGAAAAACUUGAGUUGAAAGUAUAUAUCCCUAGAAAACUCUAUGAUGAGUGGGAACCUACUAUAAAAAUUAAAAUUAAAGAUUAUGAGUUUCAUGCUUUGUGUGAUUUGGGUGCUAGUGUCUCCACUAUUCCCAAUGCUUUAUGUGAUUUGCUAGAUUUCCGUGAUUUUGAUGAUUGCUCUCUAAACUUGCAUCUUGCGGAUUCCACUAUUAAAAAAACCUAUAGGAAGAAUUAAUGAUGUUCUUAUUGUUGCAAAUAGGAAUUAUGUGCCCGUAGAUUUUAUCGUUCUUGAUAUAGAUUGCAAUCCUUCAUGUCCUAUUAUUCUUGGUAGACCUUUCCUUAGAACGAUUGGGGCAAAUAUUGAUAUGAAGGAAGGGAAUAUUAGAUUCCAAUUUCCCUUAAAAAAGGGUAUGGAACACUUCCCUAGAAAGAAAAUAAAAUUACUAUACGAAUCUAUCAUGAGAGCCACUUAUGGAUUGCCUACCAAAGAUGGCAAUACCUAGAUCUAUCCUUGCUUUUAUGCCUAGCUAGGGGAGUUAAACGAUAGCGCUUGUUGGGAGGCAACCCAAUUUUAUUUUGUGUUUUUUGUUUUUGCUUCUGUUUAGGAAUAAAUAAUCCAUCUACCUUAUAUUUGGAUGUGGUUUUAUGUUUUAAUUAGUGUUUGUGCCAAGUAGAACCUAUAGGAUAACCUACGAUGGUAGUUGAUUUGAUUCUGCUGAAAAACAGAAACUUUGCACGCACGAAUUUAGUUAUGAUAAAUCACAUAAACGUGCUUUUGCGUUGAUUCUUUCUGAGUAUGUUCAAUAAACAAAUUUUCCAGGACUUCCUAUUUUGGUAGAAUUUUUAGAGUUCCAGAAGUUUGCGUUAGUUACAAAUUGCUACAGAUUGUUCUGUUUUUGACAGAUUCUGUUAUACGUGUGUUGUUUGCUUAUUUUGAUGAAUCUAUGGCUAGUAAAAUAGUUUAUAAUCCAUAGAGAAGUUGGAAUACAGUAGGUUUAACACAAAUAUAAAUAAAGAAUGAGUUCAUUACAGCACCUUGAGGUAGUCUUUUGUUUUCUUUCUCUAACGGAGCUCACGAGAUUUCUGUUGAGUUUUGUGUUGUGAAGUUUUCAAGUUUUGGGUGAAUUCUUUUGAUGGAUUAUGGAAAAAGGAGUGGCAAGAGCCUAAGCUUGGGGAUGCCCAUGGCACCCCCAAGAUAAUACAAGGACACCAAAAAUUCAAAGAUUGGGGAUGCCCCGAAAGGCAUCCCCUCUUUCGUCCACUUCCAUCGGUAAUUUACUUGGAGCUAUAUUUUUAUUCACCAACAUGAUAUGUGUUUUGCUUGGAGCGUCUUGUAUCAUUUGCGUCUUUGCUUGUUAAUUUACCACAAUCAUCCUUGCUGUACACACCUUUUGAUAGAGCCAUAUAUGAAUUGGAAUUUGUUAGAAUACUCUAUGUGCUUCACUUAUAUCUUUUGAGCUUGAUAGUUUUGCUCAUAGUGCUUCACUUAUAUCUUUUGAGCGUGAUAACUUUUGCUCUAGUGCUUCACUUAUAUCGUUUAGAGCACGGUGGUGGAUUUGUUUUAAAGAAACUAUUGAUCUCUCAUGCUUCACUUAGAUUAUUUUGAGAGUCUUUAAUAGCAUGGUAAUUCGCUUAAUGUUAAUAUACUUAGUGUUCAAGACAUGUGAAACUUUCUUUUGAGUAAAUUGAAUACUAAGAUAAGUUUGAUGCUUGAUAAUUGUUUUGAGAUAUGGAGGUAAUAAUAUCAAAGUCGUGCUAGUUGAUAAUUGUGAAUUUGAGAAAUGCUUGUGUUGAAGUUUGCAAGUCCCGUAGCAUGCACGUAUGUGUAAAGUUGUGUAACAAAUUUGAAACAUGAAGUGUACCUAGCUUGUGCAUCCUUAUCAGUGGCGGUCGGGGACGAGCGAUGGUCUUUUCCUACCAAUCUAUCCCCCUAGGAGCAUGCGCGUAGUACUUGAAUUUUUUUGAUGGCUUCUAAUUUUUUGCAAUAAGUAUAUGAGUUCUUUUGACUAAUGUUGAGUCCACGGAUUAUACGUACUCUCACCUUUCCGCCUUUGCUAGCCUCUUCGGUACCGUGCAUUGCCCUUUCUCACCUUGAGAGUUGGUGAAAACUUCGCCGGUGCAUCCUAACCCCGUGAUACAAUUCGCUCUAUCACACAUAAACCUCCUUAUAUCUUCCUCAAAACAGCCACCAUACCUACCUAUCAUGGCAUUUCCAUAGCCAUUCCGAGAUAAAUUGCCAUGCAACUUCCACCACCAUCAUCAUGACAUACAUUACUUUUGUCAUAUUGCCAUUGAAUGAUCAUGUAGUUGACACCGUAUUUGUGGCAAAGCCACCAUGCAUUAUUUUCCAUACGUGUCGCUCUUGAUUCAUUGCACCAUCCCGGUACACCGCCGGAGGCAUUCAUAUAGAGUCAUACUUUGUUCUAAGUAUCGAGUUGUAAUUAUUGAGUUUGUAAGAAAAAAAAGUGUGAUGAUCAUCAUUAUUAGAGCAUUGUCCCAAGUGAGGAAAGGAUGAUGGAGACUAUGAUUCCCCCAUAAGUCGGGAUGAGACUCCGGACGAAAAAAAAGAGGCCAUGAAAAAAUAAGAGACAAAGGCCCAAACAAAAAAAAGAUUGAGAGAAAAAGAGAGAAGGACAAUGCUACUAUCCUUUUACCACACUUGUGCUUCAAAGUAGCACCUUGUUCUUCAUCUAGUGAGUCUCAUAGAUUGUGCUUCAAAGUAGCACCUUGUUCUUCAUGUAGUGAGUCUCCUAUAUUGUGCUUCAAAGUAGCACCAAGAUCUUCAUGGUAGUGAGUCUCAUAAAUUGUCUUUUUAUACUAGUGGGAAUUUUUCAUUAUAGAACUUGGCUUGUAUAUUCCAAUCAUGGGCUUCCUCAAAAUGCCCUAGGUCUUCAUGAGCAAGCGAGUUGGAUGCACAGCCACUAGUUUUCUUCUGUUGAGCAUUCAUAGCUCUAGUGCAUCCGUUGCAUGGAAAUCCCUACUCCUCAUGUUUACAUAAAUUGAUGGGCAUCUCCAUAGCCCGUUGAUUAGCCUCGUCGAUGUGAGACUUUCUCCUUUUUUGUCUUCUCCACACAAUCCCCAUCAUCAUAUUCUAUUCCACCCAUAGUGCUAUAUCCAUGGCUCGUGCUCAUGUAUUGCGUGAAAGUUGAAAAGUUUGAGAUUAUUUGAUUAUGAAACAAUUGCUUGGCUUGUCAUCGGGGGUAUAGAAGUUGGGAACACCUUUGUGUGACAAAAAUGAAGCAUAGCCUAACCAUAUGAUUUUGUAGGGAUGAACUUUCUUUUGCCAUGUUAUUUUGAGAAGACAUGAUUGCUUUGAUUAGUAUGCUUGAAGUAUUAUUAUUUUUGUGUCAAUAUGAACUUUUGUCUUGAAUCUUUUGGAUCUAAAUAUUCCUAUCACAAUUAAGAAGAUUUUUAUUGAAACUAUGCCAAAGUAUCACUCUGCAUCAAUUUUUUUUAUCAUUUACCUACUCGAGGACGAGCAGGAAUUAAGCUUGGGGAUGCCUGAUACGUCUCCAAUGUAUCUAUAAUUUUGGAUUGCUCCAUGCUACUUUAUCUACUGUUUUGGACUAUAUUGGGCUUUAUUUUCCAUUUUUAUAUUACUUUUGGGACUAAUCUAUUAACCGGAGGCCCAACCCAGAAUUGCUGUUUUUUGCAUUUUUCAGUAUUCCGAAGAAACAGAAUAUCAAACAGAGUCCAAACGGAAUGAAACCUUCGGGAUCGUGAUUUUCCAACCAAACGUGACCCAGGAGACUUGGACCCUACUCCAAGCAGUGCCAGAGGCGGUCACGAGGGUGGAGGGCGUGCCCCCUGGGCGCGCCCCCUACCUCGUGGGCCCCUCGACGCUCCACCGACGUACUCCUUCCUCCUAUAUAUACCUACGUAUCCCCGAACGAUCAGAACAGGAGCCAAAAACCUAAUUCCACCGCCGCAACCUUCUAUAUCCAUGAGAUCCCAUAUUGGGGCCUGUUCCAGAGCUCCGCCGGAGGGGGCAUCCACCAUGGAGGGCUUCUACAUCAUCACCAUAGCCCCUCCGAUGAAGUGUGAGUAGUUUACUUCAGACCUUCGGGUCCAUAGCUAGUAGCUAGAUGGCUUCUUCUCUCUUUUUGGAUCUCAAUACAAUGUUCUCCCCCUCUCUCGUGGAGAUCUAUUCAAUGUAAUCUUCUUUUUGCGGUGUGUUUGUUGAGACCGAUGAAUUGUGGGUUUAUGAUCCAGUAUUAUCUAUGGAAAAUAUUUGAUUCUUCUCUGAAUUCUUUUAUGUAUGAUUGAGUUAUCUUUGCAAGUCUCUUCGAAUUAUCCUUUUGGUUUGGCCAACUAGAUUGGUAGUUCUUGCAAUGGGAGAAGUGCUUAGCUUUGGGUUCAAUCUUGUGGUGUCCUUACCAAGUGACAGAAAGGGUUGCAAGGCAUGUAUUGUAUUGUUGCCAUCGAGGAUAACAAGAUGUUUUUUUUAUCAUAUUGCAUGAAUUUAUCCCUCUACAUCAUGUCAUCUUGCUUAAGGCGUUACUCUGUUUUUACUUAAUACUCUAGAUGCAUGCUUGAUAGCGGUCAAUGAGUGGAGUAAUAGUAGUAGAUGCAGAAUCGUUUCGAUCUACUUGUUUUGGACGUGAUGCCUAUAUACAUGAUCAUUGCCUAGAUAUACUCAUAACUAUGCUCAAUUCUGUCAAUUGCUCAACAGUAAUUUGGUCACCCACCGUAGAAUACUUAUGCUCUCAAGAGAAGCCACUAGUGAAACCUAUGGCCCCCGGGUCUAUUCUCAUCAUAUCAAUCUCUAUCACUUUAUUUACUUGCUUUGUUUUUACUUUGCCGUUUACAUUUUACUUUGCAUCUAUCUAUCAAAAAUACCAAAAAUAUUAUCUCUAUCAGAUCUCACUCUCGUAAGUGACCGUGAAGGGAUUGACAACCCCUAAGCGUUGGUUGCGAGUUGCUAUCAUUUUGUGUAGGUACGAGGGACUUGUGCGUGGACUCCUACUGGAUUGAUACCUUGGUUCUCAAAAACUGAGGGAAAUACUUACGCUACUUUGCUGCAUCAUCCUCUCCUCUUCGGGGAAAUCCAACGCAGUGCUCAAGAGGUAGCAGAGGUAUGCAAGCCAUUCUUCGUUGGCACCGAUCCAUACCUAUAUAUAAGACGGUGGGCAGCGGAGAAAUUACGAGAUGGAAAUGCAAUAACUAAGUACUACAUGAUCAAACUCCAUUACUGACCUGCUCAUCGGACAAAAUUCGACUACCUCUCAACAUUGGCAACUCUAGCGGAGUCAACGUGCAACCAUGGCCAGGGAGCGGUGGACUGUUCAAAGGAUUGUCCUAUAGAAGAACCUUCUCCUCGAGGAUGCAUGGAAGACCAACAAGCAUGGCCUUUUCCCAAGCCUAUUUAAGCAAGCCGCCGCGCUGGGCUUCGCUGCGCUGCCGAGGAUAACAAGAUGGUUGGCCUUAGCGCGGCGCGCGCGAGCAAGCCGCCGCGCUGCCGUGCCAAUCUAGCUAGCAAACCUUGUAGACAAGCAGCUGGACAGAGCUAUCUUGGCUAGCUACCGGCCGCGAGCGACGGACGGAGCUGGCAUCCGGGCUGCCGCAACAUGGGCUCCGCACCGCCGAUGGUUUUGACCUUGCCUUCUUCCGGCGGCGGUAGCUGCGUCCCAUGGCCGAGGAUGACUAGGUAGACAGGCUGGAGGUAGGAGGUCACUCGGAGAUUUUUGUGCAGACUGACAUGUAGGUCCCACAAGUUAUAACGCCCGGUCAAAAGAAGGCGUUGACUUAAUGGGAGACAUGGGCCCUAUCAGAGGUUAGAGUUAGAUUCUAACCCUGAACUAACUCUUACCAAAGGGGCGUUUGGAUGGCAAGGUUAGAUUGACAACAAAUAUAUCCAAACAGGGCCAUGGGUUGAAACGUGCCUAUAACGGCACUUUGUAGAGUAGGCGUUUCUUCGUAGGGCUGGUUGGUAAGAGCAUGUAUAAUGGUUGAUAAGGUAGUCUUGUCUUAAGUCUGCCACGUAUGCAAGUGGUAGUAGUUUCUUGGCAUUUUAGUGCUUUCUUGCAUUAUUAGGGGUUUCUUGUAAGGAAUAAUGUACGUACUACUAGCGACAAAAGGCGAUUCUAGGUUGUGUUGUACUCCAACGAGUACUACUAGUGGUCGCGGGAGUGUAUACCUCGUUUUGUGGGUUCGAUCCUGGCCAAAUGCACGGCGGCCUUUUUUUUAAUAGUAACUUCGCUGCGAGCCAAUAUUUUACAUGGGUAGUUUGAGUUUUGAAGUCAAACGGGCGUGCGGCACCACAAUCUGGGUGCACUGGAUAGCCUAGCCACGUGAACGGGUUUUCCUUACCAGCAUCCCGUGGCUCGCGUUCUCUCCCUAGCCGCACCUCGCUUGCAGCUUCCUCUUCAUCUAGUAGCAUAUUUAAACUAGCGCCGCCCAAUUAAGCCCGAGGAGCCGGAAAAGCCUGGCGGGGCAUUGGGAACUGUGCAAUAUGGCUUUGUACGUAAAGUGCUCUACUACUACUCUGUAGCUUGUGGCGUUGCACGCAUGGAAUUCACUCCAUUAUCGGCUCUACUAUAAAAGAAAUUCCUCUUGACGUGUUUUUUUGAAACGGAGGCAAAAGCUUUGCUUCAUCUCAUUCAUAAAGAAGGAACUACUAACAAAGUUCGACGAGAUCUAUUACACCUCCACAAAUGGAAGCGAAAAGGCUAGUCUCGUUGUAUCAAAUAACUCAAAUGUUCUGCCCCCAUAGUAACCGUCGCUGAUAAACAGGCUGCUAGUGUGUGCGUGAGAGGAGCGGCUGAGUAGGCCAGCUACAUGAGAGGAGCGGCUGAAUAGAGCACCGAGAGUACCCACUAGGACACUACGCAGGUGUACUUUCCCUGCAUUGAUAGUACAGCGAUGGUUCUAGAGAACAGUAGUACCCUCCACUUCCAACUGUAGCUCCUUGGCGCUGAGAUUUAAGAGUUCAAAACGGGUGCACUAUACUAGACUAGACUAGAAGUACAGUACAUCGCACUACUAGUUGAGAAAAAGUAGUACUAGUACUUCUACAGUACGAGUACGUACUCCUCCGUCACAUAAUGUAAGAGGUUUUUUGACAUUAAUUGGCGUGUACAAAAAACAGCAAAAACAUACACAAAAUUUCUUAAUCCACGCCAAAAACUACUACCUAGUGCCAAAAAUUUCUUACUAGUGCUAUUAUUUAUAGUAUAAUGCAAUCCCAUAACGUUCCAUAAUGCUAGUACUAGUAGUAAAUAGUAGCCUCAACCCUUCGCUAAGGAACGAUCUACAGUUGGAAGGGACGAGGCCCUGCGGUUACUACGCUCUUAUCUCCUCCUCGCCAGUUCCCCUCCCAGGCGGUUCUCCUCCUCGUCGGGGCUGGGAGACCUUGGACGACGAUCCUCUGGGAGAAAUCGCAUGCCACUCCGACGUCCUCACCGCCGCAAGACUCGGUGCUUCCUACACCAACUUUUUCAAGACGGUGCUUAAACAGGCUUGGGAAAAGGCCAUGCUUGUUGGUCUUCCAUGCAUCCUCGAGGAGAAGGUUCUUCUAUGAGACAAUCCUUCGAACAGUCCACCGCACCCUGGCCAUGGUUGCAUGUUGACUCCGCUAGAGUUGCCGAUGUUGAGAGGUAGUCGGAUUUUGUCCGAUGAGCAGGUCAGUAAUGGAGUUUGAUCAUGUAGUACUUAGUUAUUGCAUUUCCAUCUCGUAAUUUCUCCGCUGCCCACCGUCUUAUAUAUAGGUCUGGGUCGGUGCCAACAAAGAUUGGCUUGCAUACCUAUGCUACCUCUUGAGCACUGCGUUGGAUUUCCCCGAAGAGGAGAGGAUGAUGCAGUAAAGUAGCAUAAGUAUUUCCCUCAGUUUUUGAGAACCAAGGUAUCAAUCCAGUAGGAGACCACACACAUGUCCCUCGUACCUACACAAAACGAUAGCAACUCCCAACCAAUGCUUAGGGGUUGUCAAUCCCUUCAUGGUCACUUACGAGAGUGAGAUCUGAUAGAGAUAAUAUUUUUGGUAUUUUUGAUAGAUAGAUGCAAAGUAAAAAAGUAAAGGCAAAGUAAAAACAAAGCAAGUAAAUAAAGUGAUAUAGAUUGAUAUGAUGAGAAUAGACCCGGGGGCCAUAGGUUUCACUAGUGGCUUCUCUCAAGAGCAUAAGUAUUCUACGGUGGGUGAACAAAUUACUGUUGACCAAUUGACAGAAUUGAGCAUAGUUAUGAGUAUAUCUAGGCAAUGAUUAUGUAUAUAGGCAUCACGUCCAAAACAAGUAGAUCGAAACGAUUCUGCAUCUACUACUAUUACUCCACUCAUCGACCGCUAUCCAGCAUGCAUCUAGAGUAUUAAGUAAAAACAGAGUAACGCCGUAAGCAAGAUGACAUGUAGAGGGAUAAAUUCAUACAAUAUGAUAAAAACCCCAUCUUGUUAUCCUCGAUGGCAACAAUAUAAUACGUGCCUUGCAACUCUUUCUGUCACUGAGUAAGGACACCGCAAGAUUGAACCCAAAGCUAAGCACUUCUCCCAUUGCAAGAACUACCAAUCUAGUUGGCCAAACCAAAAAGGAUAAUUCAAAGAGACUUGCAAAGAUAACUCAAACUCAAUCAUACAUAAAAGAAUUCAGAGAAGAAUCAAAUAUUUUCCAUAGAUAAUACUGGAUCAUCAACCCACAAUUCAUCGAUCUCAACAAACACACCACAAAAAGAAGAUUACAUCGAAUAGAUCUCCACGAGAGAGGGGGAGAACAUUGUAUUGAGAUCCAAAAAGAGAGAAGAAGCCAUCUAGCCAGUAGCUAUGGACCCGAAGGUCUGAAGUAAACUACUCACACUUCAUCGGAGGGGCUAUGGUGAUGAUGUAGAAGCCCUCCGUGGUGGAUGCCCCCUCCGGUGGAGCUCCGGAACAGGCCCCAAGAUGGGAUCUCAUGGAUACAGAAGGUUGCGGCGGUGGAAUUAGGUUUUUGGCUCCUGUUCUGAUCGUUCGGGGAUACGUAGGUAUAUAUAGGAGGAAGGAGUACGUCGAUGGAGCUCCGAGGGGCCCACGAGGUAGGGGGCGCGCCCAGGGGGCGCCCUCCACCCUCGUGACCUCCUCGGAAACUUCUUGGAGUAGGGUCCAAGUCUCCUGGAUCACGUUCGGUUGGAAAAUCAUGAUCUCGAAGGUUUCAUUCCGUUUGGACUCCGUUUGAUAUUCUGUUUCUUCGAAAUACUGAAAAAAGGCAAAAAACAACAAUUCUGGGCUGGGCCUCCGGUUAAUAGGUUAGUCCCAAAAGUAAUAUAAAAGUGGAAAAUAAAGCCCAAUAUAGUCCAAAAUAGUAGAUAAAGUAGCAUGGAGCAAUCAAAUAUUAUAGAUACGUUGGAGAAGUAUGUCGGUGUACUAGAAUAGGGGUACCCUAGUACCCCGAACUUGUGCACGGGCAGUUGCAGCACCCCGCGACAAGGCUUGCCGGGCGAACGCCAAGAUCCUCCAAGGUUCCCUUGGAGCCAUUCAAGAACAAAGUAUUUAAGCUCAGGAGACAAGGCCCCGGCAAGAGGAGCUUGCCAGGAAGGCCAACCGAGGCACUCCAAAGAACUUGCCGCGACGUGCCACACGCUCCGGCAAGGCAACAAGGCCCCGGCAAGAGGAGCUUGCCGGGAAGACCAAACAAGGUACCUCGAGGCCCGGUGAGCGACAAGCUUCCGGACCCGACAAGAUAACAACAGCGGCAAGGCGCUUGCCGCGGCAGGCGGCCACUCUGUGCCCAUGCUCCAGCACAUCCACCAACGUGUCGCUCUGGGGGCCUCUCCAGGCGCGCGUGGCGGGAGGCUGUGCAGCCAGCGGUGCGCAGUGGCAUGCGAAGCUGACAAGAUCGCCAUCAUGGCGAAUGGUGGCGCCCCUAACGGUCCUUUUCUGCACUGUUUGGGGGACUCAGACGGGCCUUUAAUGCCCUUGUCCCCUGCCGUCAGGGUUAGGUAGGGUGCACUGUACAAGUAACUGUACCAACCACCCCACUUUUUACAUUUGUACCCUUCUCUGCGUUGCCACCUGUUGGUGACCCCUUUAGAGUAUAAAAGGAGGCCCAUUCGCAACAUAGAGGGGGUUCGUUUCGGUUCGACUCAUUCAUAACCCAGAAAGACACUACGCUCUCGGGCUAGAGCAAGAACAGAAUAGAACCAGACAAGCAGCAGUAGGAGUGUUAUCUCUCCGGAGAGCUCCAAAGCUGGGUAAACUGCUCGUGUGCUUCGCCUCGAUCUGCUCUUCGUGCGAUCUCCGCCCCCCGCCGAACCGAAAGGGGCCGGGUCCGCCGGCCCCAUAGGUGUUCGAGGAUCAGUUUCCCCGACAUCUUUGGCGCGCCAGGUAGGGGGCGUCGAGAUUGUGUGAACCUGAUCCGGCGUUCGCACGAGCUAGAUCUUCAUUCCCUUCAUCAACAUGCCACCGAAGAAGAAGACUUCGGCGGCAGCCGCUCCGUCCACAUCACUUCCGCCACCGUUGGAGCAAACGGGUGGUGGAAUGGACGCCGGCGGAAGAAUGGACGUCGACGAGGAAGCUCAUGAUGCCUCCAGGUCCAAAGACAAGGCUGCACAAACCUCGGCGACUGUACAUGUUCCGCGCCACUCUCAGGAGGCGCAAGAUCAACAGCGUCAUGGCACUCGCAGUGCCAUACGCGUGAUAGGACAAGACCAAGCUGGUGGAUCUCGGGGCGCUCAAGACCAGCAUGCACGCCAGCAUGUUGGCACGAGCGGGGCACGGUCGCCUGGACGGGAUACUGCUCCUUCUAACAUAGUUAGAAGUUCGAGCACGUCCCGCUCCUCGCGUCGUCCGCCACUACCACCCACCACUCCAGCAGAAGCUUUGGCGCGAGCUCAACUUCUCCUAGAUUACCCUCCGACGUCGGACAAGAUCGACGAAUGGAGGGCCACGAUUCAGAGUCUCAUCGGCUACGCCAACGGCGACACUCCACGGCGGCCGAGCGCGUCGCUGCCGCGGCAGGGUUGCCGGGCGCGAGCCGGUGACGACGAAACGGGUGGAGGUGCAACUACCAUGCAAUCACCGCCCGGAAGGCCAAGAUCGCCGACUCGCCGGAUCCACCUCGACAGCGACUCCACUGCAUCUUCGGAUCCACGAGCUCAUCGCGAUCAGCGCCAAGUCCUUCAUGAUCGGCAACAAGAAGAUGCUCGAACUCGCAUUGAGCACCAAAGAGAAGCGCGACGUCAAUCCGACAAGCGCGCUGGGCCCUCUGAUGACAUGCAUGCGCCAGGGGAACCAGGCGAUCUGCCGUAUGCGGUAGGUUGCCCUGUGUUCACUCGUGAGCUGCGGCAAGUCCAGUGGCCCAGCACGAAAAACUUCAAGCCAGACGUACCAGAGAAGUACGACGGCAAGACGCAUCCGUCAGAGUUCCUCAGCAUCUACACCAUCGCGGUGCAGGCUGCCGGGGGACGGGAUGACAAGAUCCUUGCCAACUACUUCCCGCUGGUGCUCAAGCCCAACGUCAGAUCUUGGCUCAUGCACUUGCCGGACAACUCAAUAUCCUCUUGGGCUGAUCUGUGCCAUCAAUUCGUCGGCGCCUUCAUAGGCGGACACAAGCCUCAUUGCCAGGAGAGUGAUCUUCAUCUGCUCGCCCAGAAGGAAGGAGAGCCCCUGCGCAAGUACAUUCAGAGAUUCAGCAGUGUGCAGCACAACAUCCCAGACGUCCACCCUGCCGCGGUGAUCACCGCGUUCCAUCAGAACGUGCGGAACCGCGAAAUGCGGGAGGAAAUGGCGAUGUGCAAGAUCAGGGACAUCAGUGAGUUAUAUGCAGUGGCCGACAAAUGUGCAUGUGCUGAGGAAGGGAGGAGACUCCCCGGAGAGAAUGUAGGAGCGGGAGGAUCUGACAGUGAGGAUGCUACCCCGCCAAGGAAAAACCGGCGGUGGAACAACAGAAGGAGGAAAGGCAAAGAGGUGCUAGUUGUUGAGCAGUCCGGCAACGGUGGUGGCGCCAAGGAAGCCAAAGCUGGUGACUCCGGCAAGGAGGUUGCCGCAGAGGUGGCGGUCACUGACAAGCAGGACGGCACCAACAAGCAGUAUUGCAAGAUCCACCGCACCAAGGGCCAUGAUCUCCAGAACUGUAAGAAAGUCGAGCAGCUUGUUGAGCAACAGAAAGCUGAAUACGAGCGGCGCGACAAGGAGAAGGCCCAGGAAGGUGCUGGGGGAUCCGGCAAGAAACGUCCCGGCCGAGGAGGACGCCGUGGCAAGGCCAAGCAGCGGCAAGGAGACAUACCUCCCCGCGGCCGUGACGAUGAUGAAGAUGACAACGACGAUGAAGACAUGGAUGACGAGGAGACUGAUGAGCAGGAGUUCCAGAAAGCCACAGAGGUCCUGUGCGUUGACGGUGGUGCUUCUCUGCAUACAUCGCACCGUCAGCUCAAGAAGUGGGUGCGGGAAGUUAAUGCAGCAGAACCACCCAUCGAGUCACGCAAGCCUUUGAAAUGGUCCGGCACGCCUAUCAUCUUGAUAUUGAGGACCACCCGGAUCGCAUAACUGCGGUCGGGUGCUUGCCGAUGUUGGUUUCACCAACAAUCCGCAACCUCAAGGUCACUAAGAUGCUAGUUGACGGCGGGGCCGGCUUGAACCUGGUCUCCUCCGCGGUGCUCCAGAAACUCCAGAUCCCCGACAGCGAGCUCGAAGAGACCGGUACAUUUCAAGGAAUCAACCCGGGAAGGAGCAAGCCGAAGGGAAAGAUCACGUUGCCGCUAACAUUUGGCAGCGGACUGAACUUCAGGACUGAGAGGGUCACAUUUGAUGUAGCCGACUUUCCAUUACCUUACAAUGGAAUCCUUGGCCGUCCGGCACUCGCCAAGUUCAUGGCAGCCUCUCACUAUGCGUACAACAUACUGAAAAUGCCAGGCCCGAUAAGUGUCAUCUCUGUCCCUGGCGAUAAGAAGGAUGCUCUUAUCUGUGCCGACAAGAUCUACUGGGAAGCAGCAGCCGCAGCAGAACGCAAGACACUUGCCGCUGAAGCUCCCGGGGGGAAGAAGAAGACCAAGUCCGGCAAGAGCUCUGAUGCCCACUCCGGCAAGCGCACCUCUUCGGAGUGCUGCGCUACCGUCGAGGACGCACCAUCGAGCUCCACCGGCAAGUAUAAGAAGGCAAUGGCAGCUCCACCUGAGACCAAGAAGGUGUCCGCCAAGGAGGAUGGCGCUGGUGGUACCUUCACCAUCAGCGCCACUCUUGACCCCAAAUAGGAAAGCGCGCUCGUUGCUUUCCUGCGGGCGAAUGUCGACGUGUUUGCAUGGCAACCGUCUGAUAUCCCCGGUGUUCCCAGGAAAGUAAUUGAGCACCACCUUGCCGCCUGUCCUCAUGCAUGGCCCGUCAAGCAGAGAGUCAGGAAGCAGGCAGUGGAGCGCCAAGAAUUCAUCGCAGAAGAAAUCAAGAAGUUGGAAGCAGCAGGCCUUGUCAGAGGAGUGCUCCAUCCCACGUGGUUGGCCAAUCCUGUUGUUGUGCGCAAGGCUAACGGGAAAUGGAGACUUUGUAUUGACUUCACUGAUGUUAAUAAAGCUUGUCCCAAAGACCCAUUUCCCUUGCCGCGCAUUGACCAGAUUGUUGACUCCACAGCCGGAUGUGAUUUGCUUUCAUUUCUUGAUGCAUACUCAGGAUACCAUCAGAUCUUCAUGGCAGAAGAGGAUGAAGAGAAAACCGCAUUUAUCACCCCGUGUGGCACGUACUGCUUCGUACGGAUGCCUUUCGGUUUGAAGAAUGCUGGUUCAACAUUCGCAAGGGUAGUCCACCACGCUUUUGAGCCGCAAAUGCAUAGAAAUGUGGAAGCUUACAUGGAUGACAUAGUGGUCAAGAGUAAGAACAGGGCGACCCUGAUUCAAGAUUUAGACGAGACAUUUGCAAAUCUGUGCAAGAUCAACCUCAAGCUUAACCCCGAGAAGUGCGUGUUUGGAGUCCCUUCCGGCAAGCUUCUCGGGUUCUUCGUGUCUCAGCGGGGAAUUGAAGCCAAUCCCGACAAGAUCAAGGCCAUUGAGCAGAUCGAAGCACCAAAGCGCGUCAAGGAUGUGUGAAGGCUUGCCGGUUGCGUGGCUGCUCUCAGCAGGUUUAUCUCUAGAUCUGCUGAGCGCGCCCUGCCAUUUUUCAAAAUUUUGAAAAAGGCAGGUCCAAUGAAAUGGACUCCGGAGGCGGAGGCUGCGCUGCAGGACUUGAAGAAAUACCUGUCCUCCACUCCAACACUUGUCGCACCUAAGCCGCAAGAGAAGUUGCUGCUGUAUAUAGCGGCAACCAAUCAAGUGGUUAGUGCUGCGUUAGUGGCGGAGAGAGAGGCGGAUGAUGAGCUAGCAACCACGGCACACGCAUCCAACGACAAGCAGGGGGCUUCACCGACAAGCUCUGGUCCCGACAAAGAUGGAUCUGUGCAGGAGCAUGAUAAGAUGCAGAAGACAAUGGUGCAGCACCCAGUUUACUUUGUCAGUUCCCUUCUGCAGGGGGCUAGAUCAAGGUACUUUGGUGUGCAGAAGUUGCUUUUCGGCCUCCUCAUGGCCUCGAGAAAGCUGCGCCAUUACUUCCAAGCACAUGAAAUCACAGUCGUCACUUGCUUUCCGCUGAAGAGGAUACUGCAAAAUCCAGAAGCAACAGGCAGGAUUGUUGAGUGGGCGUUGGAACUGUCAAGCUUUGGCCUCAAGUUUGAGAGCACUUCAACUAUCCAAAGCAGAGCAUUGGCAGAGUUCAUAGCAGAGUGUAUGCCAACCCCAGAUGAAGAAAUUCCAGAGACGAGCAUCCCCGUCAAAGAGGCAAGCAGAGAGUGGCUGAUGUACUUUGAUGGUGCCUUCUCGCUGCAAGGCGCUGGUGCAGGCAUGCUACUUGUCGCACCCACCGGAGAGCACCUCAAAUACGUAGUCCAGAUGCACUUUCCCAAGGAGCAAGCAAACAACAAUACUGCAGAGUAUGAAGGAUUGCUUGCCGGUCUCAGAAUCGCAGCAGACCUUGGGAUCAAGAAGCUCAUUGUCAGGGGUGACUCACAACUUGUCGUCCGCCAUGUGAACAAGAACUACCAGAGUCCAUUGAUGGAAGCAUAUGUUGAUGAAGUGAGGAAGCUAGAAGAGCACUUUGACGGCCUACAGAUGGAACAUAUCCCGAGAGCUCAGAAUGACAUUGCUGAUGGCCUGUCAAAGUGCACCGCACUAAAGUUACAUGUGGAACUAGGGAUCUUUGUGCUCAAGUUGACUCAACCAUCCGUAACACCCUCAACUGGACAAAGCAAGAAGAGGAAGUUGGUUUCUGGCGACUACUUUCCGGCAGAGCUCCCCGAAGCCGCCGCCAAGAAAGUCCCCAAGAUCAACACCAAGAAUGCUGAGGGGCAGUCUGCUCCGGCAAACCUUAUGGUUUAUUCCGUUGAAGCAGACGCUCCCGACAAGUUUUGCUCCGGCAAGCUUGCCGGGGAACAUCAAGCUCCGACAGGGCCGCAAGUCCUUGCCGUAGAAGCGGAUGUUCCCACAGCAGCAGAUGUGCCUUUAGUCCUUGUUGUCGAGCCACAAGCUCCAGCAUGGGCACAGCAGAUUGUCCAUUUCCUUCAGACAGGAGAACUUCCCGAAGAGCAAGAAGAAGCGGAAAGAGUAGCCCGGCAGUCAAGUAUGUACCAGUUUGUCGAUACCAUACUGUACAGAAGAAGACUCAACGGUGUGAAAUUGAAGUGUAUUUGCCGGGAAGAUGGACAAAAGCUGUUGGCAGAGAUACAUGGAGGCAUAUGUGGCCACCACAUAGGCGCAAGGGCACUUGCCGGCAAAGCUUUCCGGCAAGGCUUCUUUUGGCCGACAGCCCUCCAGGAUGCAACUGCACAAGUAACCAAGUGUGAAGCAUGCCAGUUCCACUCCAAACAGAUAUACCAGCAGCUCAAACUCUCCAGACGAUCCCUUUAUCCUGGCCAUUUUCGAUCUGGGGGCUCGAUAUCCUUGGCCCUUUCCCCCGAGCUGUCGGGGGCUUUGAGUACUUGUACGUCGCAAUCGACAAGUUCACAAAGUGGCCGGAAGUGCAACCAGUGAGGAAGGUGACAGCACAGUCAGCAGUCAAGUUCUUCUGGUCAAUUGUUUGCCGUUUCGGGAUCCCUAACAAGAUCAUCACCGACAACGGCACGCAAUUCACGAGCCGCACCUUCAUGCAGUACGUCCAAGACCUUGGCGCCAAGGUCUGCUUCGCUUCUGUUGCUCAUCCGAGAAGCAACGGUCAAGCAGAGAGGGCAAAUGCUAAAGUGCUGCGUGGGCUCAAGACCAGAACUUUCGACAGGCUGCGCAAGUGCGGAAGAAACUGGAUCGAGGAGCUGCCGGUGGUUCUUUGGUCGAUCAGAACGACGCCAAAUCGAGCCACUGGCCAGACACCUUUCGCUCUAGUCUACGGAGCAGAGGCAGUUCUCCCCACGGAACUCGUAUAUGGAUUGCCUCGAGUGCUCGCUUAUGAUGAGUUUGAGCAAGAGCAGCUGCGACAAGAUGACGCGCUGCUCCUUGAGGAAGAUCGUCUUCAAGGCUGCUGUACGAGCUUCUCGAUACCAGCAAGCUUUGCGCCGCUACCAUAGCCGCAAAGUUAAGGCCAGAAGCUUCGAGGAAGGCGACCUUGUUCUUCGGCGCGUUCAGUCCGCCAAGAAUUCCAACAAGUUGACGCCGAAGUGGGAAGGCCCUUAUCGGGUGAAACGAGUCACAAGGCCCGGUGCUGUCCGCCUUGAGACCGAAGAUGGCAUUCCGGUGAGCAACUCCUGGAACAUAGAACAUCUUUGUAAGUUUUUCCCGUACAGAACCCCGUUUCGGCAACCACCUUUUGUACAAGUCUUGCCGCUGUUGCAUGUAAUCCUUUGUACAAAGCCGGGCGCAGAUCCCGUGCAGAAAAAGAACCCCAUGUGCUCCGCACAACUUGUCCAUUUCAUGCAUUAGUUUCUUUCUCGCAUGCGUUAUCUGACACUUUGUGCAGCACCUACAUCCGGUAAGCAGUAACGAGCCGAAGGGCUCCAUAUCGUUAUUUUCUCUUCUUUCUUCUUUUUCAACAAAGGAAAAGAAGGUUCCCUCGCACACAUGUUUGUCGGGGAGGAAGGAGAAGAUUGUGGUAUGGACCAGGCAUCGUUCAAGCGAAGUCUUGCCUUGCCGGGAAACAAACGACAGAAAAGCUAAGUUGCCAAAGUUUGAGCAAUCAGUUUUUAAAUUUUUGAGUUAUCUUCCUCGAACGACCCUGCUUUGUACGGAAAACCUGUGCGCGGAGGAACCAACUCGUGGCUAGUUGCGCCCUUACUUUGUUUCGAGUCCGCUCAACAGCUUAAGUGUGCUGCAUCUAGUCGCGACAAGGUUUCUUGUCGGAAGCAACGCCGCCAGCAGGCUGCUGAAGUUCUGCACUCAGCGCUCGCGGCUCGGGUGCCUGCGCCGACAAGUUCCCUGGAAGCGUAGGGUAAAAACAUACAAAGGAAGGAAUCUAGUAGAGGAAAUAACAUAGCAAUUGAUAACAGAAAUAAAGUUAUAUUACAAGAUAACUUGUCGCAGCUCUAACAGAAUAUUUUCAUAACAUGAUUAGCAGCGGCAAGGGAAAAGAAGAAAUGGACGGCCUAUUCUACGCGUCCGCCCUCGACUCUCUUGAUCUCGCUCACCUUGUCCACAAUGGGGGUGACAAGGGCCUUGAGUGCAUCCAGAUCGGCGUCAGGCGGCAAGGACCUGAGGACGUUGGUGAAGCUGAGGCCUGGAUUGCGGAAGGCCACCUUCAUCAGCACCUUCUGGAGAACCCCGGCGCAGAUUUUGCGCGACUCGUUGGCCAGCUGCUUCAGGAUCCUCUCCCGGAGCCGGUGGAGUGCCGUCGCCACGCCCUUGAAGAACAGGCUGAGCUUGGCGCUGGGUUGAAGACUCUCGUCGGAAGGAUACCCAAAGUCCUCCAUCCCCAGCUGCGCCAGCUCCUCGUUGAUGACUGCGGCAAUGUUCACCAGACCCUCGGUCUAGUGCUCCACAGUGUCUCUGAACGAGUUCUGGGUAACUGCAAUGCUCUCCAGCAGCGCCACGUCAGCCUUGACCUUCUCCGACAAGGUCUUCUCCCGCUCCUUGGCGACCUCCAGCGUCUGCGUCAGUGUGGCCAGCUUCAGCUCCAGGUCUGCUUUGGAAUCCUUGGCGGCGCUGAGCUCCUUGCCCCUCUCAGCGAGUAGACCUUGCAGCUCACCGUGGGCGGCAGCAUCCUUCUCACGCUCACGCUUGAGCGCGGCAAGCUCCCCGCCGCUCUUCCCAAUGUCGGCCUCCAGCUGUGCCACCUUCUCCUCCAGCUCUUUCUUGGCGGCCUCUGCAAUUGUCGCAGUGUCCUUUGCCUCCUUGAGCGCCCCGCCAAGUGCUUGCUCGCGCUCGGCGAGCUCUUCCUCGUAGCUGUCGAGGUUGGCCUUCCGCUGCACUAGUUCACCUUCCCGCGUGGACUGCUUCUCGGCGGCCAGCCUUUGCUCCUCCUCAGCUUCGGCCUUCUCGAGAAGGAAGGCCGUGCGCUCCUCGUCGAGUCGCUCCCGCUCCUGCACCAGGGACCGGAGAGCUUCUCGAUUGUGGCCCCGGAGCUCCUCCGCGCGCUUCUCCAUGUCAACUCCCGCCUUCGCGACAAGCGCUUCCUGGGAAGCCACCUUGGCUUGCCGGGCGCGGUAGAGUGACAGCAGCUUCCGCAGCAGCUGCUCCUCCUCAGGCUCGCCGCUGCUGCUGCUGGGCACGUCGACCAACAACAAUCCAGCAGAGGCGAGCACCUCCCCAUCGAAAGUUUCCCCCUCGACCGGCGCCCUGGAGCUCGACGCCCAGGGUAGCUUGAUGAAGAUAUUGUCGCCGGCCUUCAAGUAGGUGCCGGGCUGGGGCUCCUUGGAGCCUGGCUCCACAGAAGCGGCAGAGGGAUCGGCGGUCGGCGCAGCACCUGGCGCUCCUGCGGCCACAGGGUCGUCAGUGCGAUCGCCCGACCCCUCGCCGGCUUCUGCAGCGGCAGCCCUGGCGGCCUCCUCGCCGGCGGUCUCAUCAGCAUCGGCCCUUUCCUCGCCGGCGCCCUCUAUCUCCAUUGGCUCAGUAGCAGAGGGGUCUGAAGAACGAAGAAGGGAGAAAAAUCAAUCAAAAAUCCAAGAGAAGAAAAUCAGAAGAAGAAGAACCCAAGGGAAAGUUUUUGGACAAGUGAAUUACCUGUGCCAAGAUCUGUAGUUGCGGUCUCGGUCGCCGCAGGAUCGACGGUGCUAUCCCUUGCCGGAGAGCGCUCCCUUACCGGAACCCCUCCCUUGGCGGCGUAGUCGAAGCAGAUGGCACUUCGGGACCAGCUUCCGGGCGCUCCUGAUGUGGCUGCUCUGCUCCUACACAAAUCAACAAGCAAGAUAUCAACAGAGGAAAAAACACUCAAGCGCUCCCGGCAGCAGAAGGCUAAACUAUGAACUUACGCUGGGGGCUGCGCUGGGGGCUGCUUUGAGGAGUGAUUGCCGGGUCCGUCAAGGUGGUCUCAGACCCACCUCCUGCUGACACGAUGGGGUCAUCCUCGAUGAUGAUCACCGCGGCCUUGGCCCUCUUCGCCGCUCUCUGGGCCAGCGUCCUGAAAAGAAAGGAGUCCAGAUUGGAGCAAGUCAGAUACAAGAUAUAAACAGCAAGAUUGAAGAACUACAAGAGCACCAAAGAAACUUACUCUUCUUCCUCCUCGUCGGAGCUGAGCACAGAAAGAUCGAAGUCCGGCCCUCCUCCGGUGCGGCGAGGCAGAGGAGUAGGAUCCCUUGCCCGCUUGGCAGGGGCGGUGGCGGUGGCCCGGGAAGAUCCCGCUCCAGUUGCCGCUGUUGCGUGAGGCGCUCCCGCGGCAACAUUGCUUGCCGCGGUAGAGCGCGUCGCACGGCUCGGCGGCUGUUGACCCGGCUGCCGCCCCGCUGCGUCCCCGGCCCUGCGAAGGCACCUUCUUGGCGGGGCCGGGGGCUCCGCCUGCGGCAAGUUUUCUGAAGGCUCGGGCUCCUCCUCGCCGGCAUCGCUCGGCUCGGCUUUGGAACCGGCAGGCUCCUCCUCGCCAAUGAACUCCGCGCGCUCGGCAAGGUUUGCCGCCUCCGCAGCCUCCGCCUCCUCCACAGUGAACCCAAACACGCCCGCGGCAGCUGCGGCCGCAACCUCUUCCGCCCUAGUGGCGAUGCGCUGCAGCUCCUCGUCGGUGGUGUCAUGGGUGAGGCUCUUCUGCUUGUCUGCAUGGACCGACACUUCUUCCAAGUUGUCAAAGAACGCUUGCAGACGUCAUCCACAGGCUCUUGCCAAGUUGGAAUGAUUCCGUGUGAAUCACACAACGGCAUCAUGGCGCGGAUCCGGUCAAGCGAAGAAUUGUUGCAUAAUGGGACAACGCCCCUCGGCAGCGUGAAUGGGUGCUGGGGGUCGCGUUUGAACAACUCCAGGAGCAUUGCAUCCAGCUCCAAGACGGUGAAGUUGUAGUUGAGGCCCGGCCGCAGCCUCAUGAUGUCCGCCGAGUUCUUGAAUUCCCAGGCGGGCCUCCCCCUCUCCUGCAGGGGGGCGAUGCGGCGGCGGAGGAAAUCUGCGCCUACAGCGCCUACAGUGAGCCCGGCAAGCCUGAGGCUAAGGAUCCUAGUAAUGGCGAUCUUCAGCCUCUCGUCUUCCGGGGCCACGUUGCUCCAGUCAUUGCCGCGCACUAUUGGAGUUUGGCGCACGGCGGUGAAGGGCUGCGGAUUCUCCUCGACAAUCCAGCACCACUCCGCUCUCCACUCAUCCCACUUGCUGCGGAGCUCACCAUCCAAGUACGCCUCCUUCUUACCGACUCUCGAGAUCCAGGCGAUCCCUCUGGCAAGCAGCUCUCCUCUCUCUACCCGAGGUAUGAAGUAGUGGCGGAAAAGGGCAACACUGGGGUGGACUCCGACAAAGUUUUCGCACAAAUGUGCGAAAACUGCCAUGGUCAGAACGGCGUUGGGGGUGAAGUCAAGGAGGCGGAAGCCGUAUGUGUUCAUGAUAUCGCAAAAGAACUCCGAGAAGGGCGGGCAGAGCCCGCAAUAGAAGAACAGCGCGAAUAAUGGGUACCCGUUUGGAGCCAGCUCCGAAGCAGCGGCCGGGAGUACCCUCAUGCGCGGAUGCGCACGCGUCUCUGUCGCCCAAAAGAUGUAGAAGUACUCCCUCAGCUCCUGCACGCCGAGCUGAGGGGAGAAGAUCGCCCGCUCCUUCCGCAGCGCCGUGAGCCGCUGCACCUCGGCCGACUUCACGCCCUUUCCCUUGUCGGCUUUCGGGGCCAUGGCGGAGGUGGUGAGGGGGGUCGACAGCGUGGUGAUGCUGGUGGCAAUGGGGGGCGGAGCGCUGCUCUCUCGGCUUCGAGAAGAAGGGGGGAGCGGCAGAGGUUCUUGAAGAUGGAGUAGCAGCAACCAGCGAGGGCGAACGAACUGCCCCUAUUUCCUCUGCUUAUAAAGAGGGACGGGGCGGAAAUUUCGCCCUUCCGAAUAAACAACCACCCACGAUCUCUCCCACAAUGCCGCAUUCAACGCGUGCCGCUAUGGGAGAGCGCGGUGGAUACGGAGCGAGAUUCGGUGUGGCCCAGUCCGCGUGUGCCUGUGCCCUGUCUUGGGCCUGGCCCGACAGUGCUCGACACCGUGUCUGGCCCAGGCCUGGGGGCUCCUGUCGGUGUACUAGAAUAGGGGUACCCUAGUACCCCGAACUUGUGCACGGGCAGUUGCAGCACCCCGCGACAAGGCUUGCUGGGCGAACGCCAAGAUCCUCCAAGGUUCCCUUGGAGCCAUUCAAGAACAAAGUAUUUAAGCUCAGGAGACAAGGCCCCGGCAAGAGGAGCUUGCCGGGAAGGCCAACCGAGGCACUCCAAAGAACUUGCCGCGACGCGCCACGCGCUCCGGCAAGGCAACAAGGCCCCGGCAAGAGGAGCUUGCCGGGAAGACCAAACAAGGUACCUCGAGGCCCGGUGAGCGACAAGCUUCCGGACCCGACAAGAUAACAACAGCGGCAAGGCGCUUGCCGCGGCAGGCGGCCACUCUGUGCCCACGCUCCAGCGCAUCCACCAACGUGUUGCUCUGGGGGCCUCUCCAGGCACGCGUGGCGGGAGGCUGUGCAGCCAGCGGUGCGCAGUGGCAUGCGAAGCUGACAAGAUCGCCGUCGUGGCGAACGGUGGCGCCCCUAACGGUCCUUUUCUGCACUGUUUGGGCAACUCAGACGGGCCUUUAAUGCCCUUGUCCCCUGCCGUCAGGGUUAGGUAGGGUGCACUGUACAAGUAACUGUACCAACCACCCCACUUUUUACAUUUGUACCCUUCUCUGCGUUGCCACCUGUUGGUGACCCCUUUAGCGUAUAAAAGGAGGCCCAUGCGCAAUGUAGAGGGGGUUCAUUUCGGUUCGACUCAUUCAUAACCCAGAAAGACACUACGCUCUCGGGCUAGAGCAAGAACAGAAUAGAACCAGACAAGCAGCAGUAGGAGUGUUAUCUCUCCGGAGAGCUCCGAAGCUGGGUAAACUGCUCGUGUGCUUCGCCUCGAUCUGCUCUUCGUGCGAUCUCCGCCCCCCGCUGAACCGAAAGGGGCCCGGUCGGCCGGCCCCAUAGGUGUUCGAGGAUCAGUUUCCCCGACAACGUAUCAGGCAUCCCCAAGCUUAAUUCCUGCUCGUCCUCGAGUAGGUAAAUGAUAAAAAAGAUUUUUUGAUGCAGAGUGAUACUUUGGCAUAAUUUCAAUGUAAAUCUUCUUAAUUGUGAUAUGAAUAUUCAUAUCCGAAAGAUUCAAGACAAAAGUUCAUAUUGACACAAAAAUAAUAAUACUUCAAGCAUACUAAUCAAAGCAAUCAUGUCUUCUCAAAAUAACAUGGCAAAAGAAAGUUCAUCCCUACAAAAUCAUAUAGUUAGGCUAUGCUUCAUUUUCGUCACACAAAGAUGUUCCCAACUUCUAUACCCCUGAUGACAAGCCAAGCAAUUGUUUCAUACUUAAAUAAUCUCAAACUUUUUCAACCUUCACGCAAUACAUGAGCGUGAGCCAUGGAUAUAGCACUAUGGGUGGAAUAGAAUAUGAUUAUGGGGAUUGUGUGGAGAAGACAAAAAAGGAGAAAGUAUCACAUUGACGAGGCUAAUCAAUGGGCUAUGGAGAUGCCCAUCAAUUGAUGUCAACAUGAGGAGUAGGGAUUGCCAUGCAACAGAUGCACUAGAGCUAUGAAUGCUCAACAAAAGAAAACUAGUGGGUGUGCAUCCAACUUGCUUGCUCACGAAGACCUAGGGCAUUUGAGGAAGCCCAUCGUAGGAAUAUACAAGCCAAGUUCUAUAAUGAAAAAUUCCCACUAGUAUAAAAAAGAGACAACUUAUGAGACUCACUACAUGAGGAACAAGGUGCUACUUUGAAGCACAAUAUAUGAGACUCACUACAUGAAGAACAAGGUGCUACUUUGAAGCACAAGUGUGGAAAAAGAGAUAGUAGCAUUGCCUUUUUUUUGGGGCUUUCUCCUUUUUUUUAUUUGGGCAAUGCUCUAAUAAUGAUGAUCAUCACACUUCUAUUGAUUACAACACAAGGAUUACAACUCGAAACUUAGAACAAAACAUGACUCUAUAUGAAUGCCUCCGGCGGUGUACCGGGAUGGUGCAAUGAAUCAAGAGUGAUAUGUAUGGAAAAUAAUGCAUGGUGGCUUUGCCACAAAUACGAUGUCAACUACAAGAUCAUGCAAUAGCGAUAUGACAAAAGUAAUGUAUGUCAUGAUGAUGAUGGUGGAAGUUGCAUGGCAAUAUAUCUCGGAAUGGCUAUGGAAAUGCCAUAAUAGGUAGGUAUGGUGGCUGUUUUGAGGAAGAUAUAAGGAGGUUUAUGUGUGAUAGAGCGUAUCGUAUCACGGGGUUUGGAUGCACCGGUGAAGUUUGCACCAACUCUCAAGGUGAGAAAGGGCAAUGCACGGUAACGAAGAGGCUAGCAAUGGCGGAAAGGUAAGAGUGCGUAUAAUCCAUGGACUCAACAUUAGUCAAAAGAACUCAUAUACUUAUUGCAAAAAUUUAGAAGUCAUCAAAAAUUCAAGUACUACGCCAUGCUCAUAGGGGGAUAGAUUGGUAGGAAAAGACCAUCGCUCGUCCCCGACCGCCACUCAUAAGGAUGCACAAGCCAGGUACACUUCAUGUUUCAAAUUUGUUACACAACUUUAAGCAUACGUGCAUGCUACGGGACUUGCAAACUUCAACACAAGUAUUUCUCAAAUUCAUAAUCACCCAACUAGCACGACUUUGAUAUUAUCACCUCCAUAUCUCAAAACAAUUAUCAAGCAUCAAACUUAUCUUAAUAUUCAAUUCACUCAAAAGAAAGUUUUGCAUAUCUUGAACACCAAGUAUAUUAACAUUAAGCAAAUUACCAUGCUAUUAAAGACUCUCAAAAUAACCUAAGUGAAGCAUGAGAGAUCAAAUAGUUUCUUUAAAACAAAUCCACCACCGUGCUCUAAAAGAUCUAAGUGAAUUACUAGAGCAAAAAUUAUCACGCUCAAAAGAUAUAAGUGAAGCACUAUGAGCAAAACUAUCAAGCUCAAAAGAUAUAAGUGAAGCACAUAGAGUAUUCUAACAAAUUUCAAUUCAUGUAUGGCUCCCUCAAAAGAUGUGUACAGCAAGGAUGAUUGUGGUAGACUAACAAGCAAAGACACAAAUAAUACAAGACGGUCCAAGCAAAACACAUAUCAUGUUGGUGAAUAAAAAUAUAGCUCUAAGUAAAUUACCGAUGGAAGUGGAGGAAAGAGGGGAUGCCUUCCGGGGCAUCCCCAAGCUUUGACUUUUUGGUGUCCUUGGAUUAUCUUGGGGGUGCCAUGGGCAUCCCCAAGCUUAGGCUCUUGCCACUCCUUGUUCCAUAAUCCAUCAAAAGAAUUCACCCAAAACUUGAAAACUUCACAACACAAAACUCAACAGAAAUCUCGUGAGCUCCGUUAGAGAAAGAAAAACAAAAUACUACUUCAAGGUACUGUAAUUAACUCAUUCUUUAUUUAUAUUGGUGUUAAACCUACUAUAUUCCAACUUCUCUAUGGUUUAUAAACUAAUUUACUAGCCAUAGAUUCAUCAAAAUAAGCAAACAACACACGAAAUCAGAAUCUGUCAAAAACAGAACAGUCUGUAGCAAUCUGUAACUAACGCAAACUUACGGAACUCUAAAAAUUCGACCAAAAUAGGAAGUCCUGGAAAAUUUGUUUAUUGAUCAGCAUCAAAACCAAUCAACGCAAAAGCACGUUCCUAUGAUUUAUCAUAACUAAAUUCGUGCGUGCAAAGUUUCUGUUUUUUAGCAGAAUCAAAUCAACUAUCAUCGUAGGUUAUCCUAUAGGUCCUACUUGGCACAAACACUAAUUAAAACAUAAAAACACAUCCAAACAGAAGGUAGAUGGAUUAUUUAUUCCUAAACAGAAGCAAAAACAAAAAACACAAAAUAAAAC